AACUUGCAGGUUUUGUUUGGUGAUAAACGCUAAAAAGGAAGUUUUGUUCAAUUUUGAUGCGAUGAUUUGAUGAAAGAUUUUCCUUUUUGAAACUGACAUGAACAACGAAGGCCAAGUAAAGGAAUUUUAGCAAUGCAGUGAACAUGGACUAAAUCGAUUCUGUCUCUUGUCGUGUCAAUAUCCCACUUUUUGUCACCUUGUUUUUUUCUACCUUAGUAACUUUAGCAGUGUCCUAGAAACUGGUCCCUAUCAGUUCCACUAAUUUCACUUUUGAUGUUAUCAAUUAUUUUCCCAUUUCCCCAAAUCAGUUUUUUAACUUUUUUUUAUUAAGUGUUCUCAUGACAUGAGAUUAAUAGGCACUACUGAACUAAGAUUAGAAUUUCGUUUUUCUUUUUAGGGUUCUCAAAUUUUAUGAGAAUGGAAUUUAAUUAGUUUCUUUUGGAUUGAAGAAGAUGAUCAGAUAUAUGGGUGGCAGUCCCUUUCCAAUAUUUGAAACAGCACAUUUUUAAACUGAUCUCACUAAAGAAAAUAAAGAGCCAAUUCACUUAUUUUGAUUUUACCCGUGUUAUCUGAUCUUUAUAUAAAUUUGAACAAAUCUUUUUAUCUCAUUUUAUAAAACCCAACACUAUGGAUUCUCGAUCGAUAGCUCAGGUUUCAUGUUAAUUAUAAUUAUCAAUCUCUGUUUAGUAAAAUUUCGGUUUUACAAUCUAAAAAUAAUUUUGUUUGAACUAAAAUAGUAUCUAAAUAAAACUCCUUCAAUAAUGAUAAAUUCAAAAUUCGAAAUCAAUUCAAAUAUUUAAAAUAAAAAAUUCAUUUUCACUUCUUCCAUCUACCUAUCCGUAACUAAAACUUGUUUUAUAAGGAAGAGAGAGAGAGAUAAUUCGAAAUUUGAAAUGCAAGACUAGACAACGUAAUUUUUAUGCCAUUACAUUAGUGGCUAGUUGAUGUUGACAAACUAUGUUGAAAUGCCUCAAGUACAGUAACUUGAAAAAGGGAAAAAGUAAAUGAACUUUGGCUGCUUCUUUUUUCUUUUUCUUUUCUUUCUCAAACAUGUGUUUCUCAAAAAGGUCGUUUGGAUGUGACAAAAAUAAACAGUAAUCUAAAUCCUAGAUCCGAUGAAUAUGACUUCCUCAUCAAAACCAUAAAAUUUUAGCCCCAAAUUAUUUAAAUCGUUUGCUUUUAUCCCUUCAAUUAAGUUCCAUUUCCACACUAAGUAAAUGUACACUCAUUUCUGCACAUCCAAGGAAAAAAUAAAUAAAAGAAUCAAACAUGAAUGAGAUAAACCCCGCAAUUGCUCUAUGAAUCUAUGAGGUGUGAGUUCAGAAAAAGGAUGCCGGCUGAGCGGCCGGAAAUUACUGGAGGUAACCAAUGUCAUAGUGUCAUACAAGUAAAUCUGACACCAUUACCUUUUCAUGGUAAGAACAGGUGAUCAUUCAAUAAAGAAAAAACAUAAACCACUUCAAACCAGAGCAAAAUUCAUGCUUGUUCAUCUACAGUAGCAGUGUAAAGUACAACCCUAGUGAAUUCAAUGGCUAUAAUCAAAUAUUUCAACAGGAUAACAAGGCUAAACAUAUAUAUAAGCACUCCAACCUCGAAAAGAACACCAAAUAGGAUCAUGCAUUGUGCCUUGCAUUUAUUUUCAUGACAAAACCAAACCCAUUAUCUACAAGUAAGAUGGCAUUAGCCCAAGAGUUGGGUACCUGGCCAUUACAUUGUUCAUAAUGCUGAGUAAUGGCAUGAGAACACACGGUUCUCCUCUACAUGAACUGCUCCGUCAACUCAUCUCUUCACCUUCCCUCCUCUCAAGAAGUCAUAAAUUGAGCGAUUCAACCAAAGAAGAAAGAAAGCACUCACAGCAAGAUCAAACACGGCUUCAUGUUGAAUCUACCGCUUCAACUUGCUGACGUGCCAGGUAUUUUUCCCUUCGCUCUUUCUGAAUUCAUUUAAUACAAGUAAAAUAAGAAGGAAGAAAAGGAAAAAGGAGCAUGGUUUCAGACAUAAAGACAGUCAAUUACCCAUUCAUCGAUUACAAGACCUUCGCCAACAACACGGGGACCUGUAUCAGGGGCAGGUUUCUUGCAUGCUUCAAAAGCAGCCUCGGCCUCAGCUAACUGACGCUUAAGUUUGUCCAAUGCCUUAAGGAACAAGAGGAAAAAUUAAACCAUUGAAGGGCUAAACCAUGGACCCCUUAAGUGCAGAAAGCAAAACAAUAUUAGUAGAAUUUGCCACUUACAGGGCUAGGCCGCCCUAUAUCUAGAAAUACAACCCGCAAAAUUCUUUCUACAGUCACUUGAUCCCUUUGUUCAUCAAACUGUAAAAGAGAAGGCAUAAUCAAAAUCUCUGUGUUGGCAUCAGCAUCUCAAGUUUAGCAGGGAUUUACAUCCAAUAAUAGUACACAAUCAAAUUAUAAUAAAAAUAACAUAUAACCAACAAGCAAGUAAGCAUUAAAAAAAACGUAAUAUUAGGAAACUUUAAAUAGUCUAAGGAAUAUCUUAUAUUUUGAAGGAUCAAUUGCACAUGCCUACACCAGCUCACAUGGCAUUCUACUAAUGAUUAUCUAAUUUUUAUUUCAGACAAAACCAGAAAAAUUAAAUGUCUGGCACUUCACAUGAAUGAACUCUAACCUAUAACUACACAAUCAAUUAAAUACUACCAAAAACCACAUUAUUCUGCAAUAAUUUGUGACUAAAUUCAUAUUAGAAAGCCCUUACAAAAAAAAGCUAUAAUAUGAAUACACAUAACGCUUCUCCCAAGCUAGGCUCUAGUCCAGCAACGGUAAGGAGAUAAGGGCAAUGGCGUCCACAAAGAGAGAAAAUUCAUCAGGUAAUAGGAUCCCAAACAGACAAGUUGUUGAAGUUUGUGUUUUCUAACCACAAUUCCUCACCGCAUGUCAAACCGCCACGUAAGAUUACAGAACAAUUACUGAACUGAAAAACCCUUAAAGCGAAUUUCAUUUUACCCAAAUAUGAACAAUCAACUUCAGUACCAACUUUACAAGUAUUUCCUUUUCAAUGUUUUCAAAUAUAGGAAAAUUCGCAUUCAAAUUCAUUCGACAUCCAUCCAUACUAAUGGAAUCCUAUAAAAAAACAAAAACAUCGACUGAACUGAACUUUAAGAUAAAACAUCAAAUAUACAAGGAAUAAGUAACAUUACUAAACUUACAAGCUCAGGCAAGUAAUCCACUCCAGCUGUUACCUUCAAACUCAUUAUCUUAAAUUUAACUUUACUCUUUAAAUCCACCUGCACCUCAUUAUUCUCCGGACGCUCUACAAAUUUAAACACUGUCAAAACAAAAACAUUAAACAAACCAAAUCAAACAAACAUUAUCAUAAUAAAAUCUCAAAAUCAAGGGCGGAAAUUUUAUUACCGGUUGCGAUAAUGCUUUCCCCUGGCGCCAAAAUACCACCAGGUGGACGCAUAAAACAACUCUUCGGCGCAGUAGUUUGAAACUAUAAAUAAUAAACAAAAUUUUUUAGUUAAUUAAAUUAAUAAAAACAGCCAUAUGAUUCAAAGUAAUUAACAAAUGUUAUGAUAUUAAUUGUAAAUAUUGAUAAUUUCAGAAAAUAACCGUUAUAACUGUCGCAUGAAGCCUCAUUUCAAUGGACAUUAAGAAAUUGUAAACAAAAUUAGUAUAAUUCAUUGACAAAUCAUGACUUUAAACGAAAAGAAAUUGCAAAUUGUAGUAAAUUUUGAGACAAGAGAAGUAAAUAAAAAUUAGAAAUUCAAUUGUUACCUUGAAAGCUACGUGAGAUUUACUAGUGUUCUUCAACCUGAUCGCACUUCUCGCCUGAGUUCCAGGCUCAUCUACAAUUAGAAAAUAUAUAUAAAAGACAAAUUAAAAGGUACACCAAUUUAGCUCUACGAAAGUCAAAGGAUAAGCAAAGUGAGGUUAGUACAAGGGAAAUAGAGUUUAUUAGAAGGAUCGAGGCGCAGCCGGCGCCGUGGAGGGAGAAGCGAUCUAGCAAUGGAUGAGACGGAUUUAGAGCGCUUGGCGGCAACCGUCUCCGAGUGUCGACUGCCAUUGUGGUUGAGAUUUUUAGUGGAAGAAGAAGAGGAAGAGUUGUUCAUCGUGGUCGAAGUCUGCCAAAAGGGACAAAGACUAAACAUCUUUCUUUCGGAGCUCCGCUGAUGCCGGUCGACGAUCGCCAUGGGCCGCCGCAAAGUCAGCCCGUCGACUGUGGAUGGAAAGUAACCGUGGCUUUUUUAUCGUCGCAGAAAAAAGAAAAUAAAAAAAUACUCGAGGGAUUGAAUAUUUAUAUUUUAAAAAGUAUUUUAAUUUUUAAAUUUCUUCCUCUUUUUUUUUUUUCUUCUUGUCUGUGGAUUUUAGGCAUGCAAAAUGGCUACAUUCUCGGCGAAUUUAAACGCAGGUCGGAUUUGAUAUCUUUACCUAGUUGCAACUAAUUGCAAUUUGGCAUCCGUCGCUGACGUGACUGUACCAUGGGGGGCAUUCAUGUAAUUAAGUUAAAGUUUCAAGGGUAUUCUUCACUUCAAAGUACAAACUAUUAUUCCAUUUCGAAGGUCAUUAAUUAUGGAUUAAUUAAAUUAGGUGAAAGUAAAAAAAAAAAAAAAAAAAAAAGAAGAAGGAAAAAGAGGUGCAUUUACAAACGUCGGCUUGUUUGUUGGAUAGGUUAGUUGGGAAGUUAGGAAUUAAUUAGGUGAAUAAAUUAUUAAAUUAAUUUAUUUCUAAAUAAAAAAAAACAUAGAAAUACUUGUAAAAUAAACCAUAGUUGUCCAUCAUAAGUUCUCAAAUUAAAAGUAAAACAGAAAAUUUUAGUAUAAUAAUAUUUUUUAUAAUUUGUUUUAACUUUUUUUCCUAACAUAGUUUUGUACUUAUUACACAAAGUCAAUGAAACAUGGGAACUGUUUUAAUGUUUUUUAGGGAUUAGUUGAAUAGCUGACCUUUUUUAAUAUACUAAUUUUAAAAUUUGAUUUUAUGGACUAAAUUAUCAAAAAAAUAGUCAUUUUUUAAAUUACAAAAAUAAAUCGAUUUUUUAAAAAUUUACGAGAAUGGGUCAAUUUUGAUAAAAAGUUCCUAGCUAGAAGAAUUUUUAGUAUAUUGACAAAACAACACUUCUAAUCAUCAGCACUAAAGUGGCAGCACCAAAAAAUUUUUUAUUUAUUUUUUGUGUCAACUAUUGAUGUGGGAAUAAAACUUACCAAAAAGCUUAUAUAGACUUAAAGUCUCAUUUCUCUUGUUUUCUUAAGUAAUGUUGGAUAUGAGAUAUAUGUAUAUAUAGACUCAUAAAUAUAUUUGUAACUUAUUCUUAAACAAUGUGAGAUUAUUUCCUUAAAUUGGGAUAUUAGAGUUUCUUUUUCUCAUGGUUUUGAUAUUAGAGUUAUGCAAACAAAUUAUUACCAAAAAAAAAAUAUAGUGUAAAUUGAAAUGUGCAAUUUUAAAGUAUAUCAUAUUAUGGCAUAAUGAUGUAAAUAUUUAAGUAAUAAUUUUAAAAAAUAUAUAAAAAACUAAAUAUAAUUUUAAUUAAAAUAGUAAAAAUGAAUUAUUAAAGAUGUUUUGAGUCGAAAUUCUAUUUUUCUUUAGAUUUUAUAUGAUAAUUUUUUAUAAUUUUAUAAUUGAAUAUAAAUUCAAUUGAUGAGUGAUGCGAAUUUAACUAAUAUUAAAUUGAGAAAUUACUCUAAAGUCAAAACAAAAUUGCGAAUUUUUAUUUAUUUCAUCUUUUAAUUUUUGAAUUAGAAAAUACAUUUUUUUAUAAAAAAUCCAUAAUAAAAAGGCUAUUUAUUUAUAUGUUUAGGACUUAGAAGCACUCAUUUUGUAGGUGUAUUAAUAAUUAUAUCAUAAAUAAAUUACAAAUAAAACACAUAUAAUAAAAAAAUAAAUGAGUUUUGGUUUAGUUUUAAUUAAAACAGCUUAAAAUGAUUCACAAACAAGUUUGUCUGUGAACAAAAAAGGGAAAAGAAUUGAACAUAUCUCAUUCAUUUUUGUUAUUGUUUAAUAAAUGAAUCUUUAAAUUUAUUUUGUAUUAUUGUAUUUAACUUGAUAAAUGAAUAUAAAUAAGCCGUAAUUAUUUAUAGCUAUUUUACACAUGGAAAAAAAAGCCCUCAAAUACACGUUAUACAUAUUAAAAUUUAAAGUCAUAAUAAUUUAUUUAAUACUCUAAUUUUACAAAAAAAAUCUUUUUAGCCUUUUAUUUAAUAUUUUAUUUUUUUUUCAACCUUUGAACUUACUUUCUUGUCAAAUCACUUGAAAAUUAAUAGAAAAGUUAAUGUUUUUUAACUUGCUAGCAUGGCAUUCACAUGGAUUGUCACAUGAAUGACACAACAUUUCAAUAAUAUUUUGAAGAUUUUAAAAUUAAAAAGAUAUUUUUUUAAAAUAUUUUUAAAUUUUUAAAAAUUUAAUUAAUUGCUGACAUGUCAUCCAUGUGUAUGCCACAUCAAAAAAGUUAACAAAAAUUAAUUUUUUCAUCCAUUUUGAGGUGAAUUAAUAAAAAAUACAAGUUCAAGAGUUAAAAUAUACGAAAAAUUAAAUGAAGGACUAAAUUAAUUUUUUUAUAAAAUUAGAACUCCAAAUAAAUUAUUAUCACAACUUUAAAUAAGGUAUAUCCAAUCCAAAAAUUAAAAGUUUCUCAAAAUCUUGAUUUCACAUUUAGUAAAAUCCACCGUCAUCCCUUAAUAGUCUCUACUUAGAUUGAAUGCAAUUCAGCAUUGACCCCUUGUCAAGUGGGAAAUUUUCAUUAAUAGUCCCUCUUACUAUUAAUCAUUUAAUUGAAGUUUUUCAAUCAUUUCAAUAUAUGAAAAAAAAAUAUUCUUGACGCUUCUCAAAGUUAAUUAUAUGAUCUAAACUUUUUUUAAAUAAUUUUUUUAGCUUGAACCCCCUUAAAAUUUUAGAAUUUUAUUUUAGUCCUUUUAGACAGAGUUUUUGGAUUCAUCCCUAAAUUCAACUAUAUUUCUUUACAAAAUUCUAUUUAUUAAAUCACAUUAGAAAAGAAGAGAAACUCAGUUAGAUGGAAUAGUUGUAGGUUUGAGGCUGCCUACCUGGCAAUGGAACAUUUUGUUGGCCAACAAAUUGGCCAGCGAACAAAGAUAAGAUAUGCCGCUUGUCUCUACUGUACGGGAUAAUUCACAAUUAUUCCAAAAGUAAAUUAAUAAAUGCUAUACCUUAUACCAGUUUUCAUAUACUUCUUUUCUUAUUCAAUAAUAUAAUGAAAAAUGUUAAUUGAGUCUCAACUCAAUUUACAUAAGAAUUUUUGUUAAUGUAAGAGAAUGCAAGUUUGAAUGCGUUUGAAGUACAUCGUAUUCUUAUUUAUUAGUAAUUUUAAACAUUAUGUAAAAAAAAUAUAAUCUGAAUUGAAUAAUAGAGCAAAAAUAAUUUCGAUGAAUGAUUUCUGUAAUAAAAUAAAAAUAUUAUUGAGAAAAUAUUUUUUUUCCUGAAUUAAAAAAUAUUAAUGAAUAAAAAGAUUAUGCAUUGGUUAAAAAAAAAAACACAUUAUGCAUUAUCAUUGCAUUACCAGUAUUCUCAUGCUUUAUUUUUACUCUUCCAUAUACACGCACCUAACUGAAGUUAACUUAGAAAAUUAUAUGACCAAGAAAAUUAAAUUAUUGUACUAAAAAAUACCUUAUGAUUAAGACCAUAAUUAAUAUCUGAUAUGGAAUUUCAUUUAUUUCAGUUGAACUGUCACUGAUUUUUUUAGCACAACUAUUUAUUAUUAAUCAAAUAUUAAGAUAUUUUAUUCUUUAAAUUAGAGGUGUUUAUCAAUCGGAUCGGAUUCAUACAAGGUAUUUAAUUUAAUUUUUUAGUCUGGGCUUGAUUAAAAAAAUAGGUUUACUUUUUUAUUCAAGUCCAACUCUAUUUAAGAAAGAUAAAUCCGAACCUGACCCAACUUGUCUAUAUUUGAUUUUUAUACUUUAAUGUUUGAUAUAAUUUUAUAUUUGUAUUUUUUAUGAUGUCACUAAUAGUCUAAACAAUCAAUAAUGUUAACUAUUUUGAUUAAAUAUUGAUUCCAAUUUUUUUUAAAAAAAUAUUAUUCUAAUAAAAAUUAUUUUAUCAAGAUAAAUUUGAGUGAAUAUUUUUUAGAACAAAUCCACUUUAACAUUUUAAUCAAAAUAAUUAAUAGUGUUAAUUAUUUAGAGAAACUAAUAUCAUUAUAAUAAUAUAGAAGUCAAAUUUUGACCCCAAAAGUAUGAGAAUUAAAUCUCAAAAUUAUACAUAGAAAAGAAUCAAAACUAUAAUAUGACUGAAAACACUCUAUACCUAACACAAAUUAUACCAAAAUAAAAGUAAAAUAAUUAAAUCUCAAAUUUAACCAUGGUAAAAUUAUUAGAACCAUAAUAUAAUUGAAAACGAUAACACAAUCAUCCCUAAUUUAUAGUGUAAUAAAAAAAAUCAAAUAUUCCAUAAUAUUCGAUCUAUAUUUACAGAUUUAUAUAUUGCAAAUUCAAGUAUUAGAUUUAUUAUUUGAUAUUGAUUCAUAAUGCAUAUGAAUUUAAGCCAAAAAAAUUCAUUACCCAAAUUCGCUUUCAUUUUAAACAAAAUUUUAUUAUAAAAAAUUUGAGUUAAUUAAAAGAAUAAAAAUUUUGUUAUACAUCGGUGAUCACCAACUCGAGUCCUAGAUAGGAUUUGGGUCGCCUACUCGUGAUCCAGAUAGGUCCCACCAGAUGGUUGAGUGCAAGGCGAAUCGCGAAAGAACAACAAAGUGUGUUCAUGGACCCAGCUCUCGGAUCUAGCUCGCACGAACCAAGAGAAGGCCACGGUCUUAAUUCGCAUGUGUUCAAGGAGCUCGCAGAAGAGAGACCACGUGCUUUGCAGGCGACCUAGGGUGAAACACGUGUCCAGAAGGCUUCAAGCCUGCACGUAAUGUCAAUAUUAGGAACCCAAAGUGAGACACGUGUCUAGUAGGCCUGAAGCCCGCACGAAGUGUCAGUAUUAGGAACAGCUAGCAUGUAUAAAUAUCCAAAUACUCUAUUAAUAAGAUACAAAACAAAACUACUCAACAAAUUUUGAUAUGUCAUAUCAACAAACUUAAUAGAAGUAAAUUUAAUGGUAUUAACAAUUGAAUAUUGAUUUAAUUUAAGGGACUUAAAUAAAAAACUAUAAAAAAAAUUAACAUUUAAAUUUUUACACAAAUAAUCAAUUGAUGCAAUGGGAAGAGUGAAAAACUAGUUACACAUCAUAAAUCUCUUCAAUUAUCAGACCGAACAAUAAAGAUAUCAAUUGGUUUCUUUAUUUAUGAUAGUUUUCUUCAAUAAAUUUUAUGUUUGGGUUGUUGGGUCCUUAUUGUGUUGAAUGUCAGCAUGGGCUUAUGUACUUUCAUAUACAUAAAUAAUAAUUACUAAAGGCUUUGGACCACUCAAGACUAUAGCACAUAAUAUUUUAUACCUUCUAUCACUAUAUAAUAUUUCUCACUUCCUUAUUCGGUACCCAAACCUAUAUGUUUAUAACUUAUUUCAAAUUAAGAUUUGUUAUAAUUAAAAAGUUAUAUUAGGUUUUGAGAUAGAAAAUGAUGAUGGUUCACGUGGUGUAAGGAGUCAUUAAAAAUAGUAAUGAUAUAUAUUAUAGAGGGUGUGGAAAGUCAUUAAGGAUAGUGGUUAUUUGAGCUACGACAAUAGUUGAGUAGCGUGCAAUAUUAUUAAUCUCUUCUAUUCUCAUUGUAUGAAUACGUCAUUGAUAAAGUGCAGUUUAAUUAGGGUAUGGUUUAGAGGUGCCUUGAUGUGAUCAUUUUCAAAAAUAAUGAGUUUAGGAAGUUGAAAAUAUUAAUGAGAUUAAAUCUAAUAAAUUGGUUGUCCUUGAUGACAUCCUGAUACCCUCACUUCAUAUGGACACUCUGUUCAUGGCAUGAGAAGUAUCCAUUUGCGGGGAUACAACAAUUGGUCCUCAUUAAACAGAAAUUUAUGAAGUAAACUUGUUUAAGAUUGUGUUUUCUAGGGCAAUGGAAUGUCACUUUGUGAACGAGAAGCCUUUAUCAUUUGAACUAUUCAUAGUGAAAUUACUUAAUAUUUCGUGGUUGUUUCAAAAUUUUAAAUUAUCAUCUCUAAAAGGUGUGACUACUCAAUUUUGACAUGGCAUCAGUCUAUUGGCCCAUAGUUACAACACUUUGAGAACCUUUUUCGCUAUUUUUCCAUCGCUUCGCAAGCCCAAAUCUUCUUCUAUAAAUAGGGAUCUUAGGGGUUUUGUAGGGAAUUUCACUUUUGCAUUUAUUGAGUAAAUUUUAGCCAUUUUUGCUUUCCAAUGUUCUUCUAUUUCUUUUCAGAAUUUAUCAAGUUUCUUUCUUUUGUAAGUUUCUUGUUGCAUUUUCAAUGUUUCUUUACUUAUUGUCAACUUUUCAUUCCCUCUUUUGCUUUGUUCUAUGUAAGCACUUAAUUUUGUUCCGGAUUUUUAACUGCAUACUUAUUAAGCUUUGAUUUUAUUAGGAUAGAGGCUUAUGUGAGCUUUUUGUGCUAAACCAACUAUUUAAUUUGAUUUUAGAAUUGAAUUGGAUAUUAAUCGAAUUUUGUUUAAAUUUUUGGGAGUCAAAAUAGAAUUUUAUAUUUUUGAAUUAUGGGCCAAAUUGAAUUUUUAUUUAAAAAUGUUUAAUUUUGUUCCCAAAAAUCAAGUCUAGAAGAUCCCUGAAGCAAACCACAUUAAUUUUAGGUCAGGUCUAGAAGACUCUUGGAUCAAAUCUCCAUCACUCGUUUUUAAGAUUAAGUCUCCACGACCCUUGAAACAGAAUUCAACAAUUCAAGAUCAAGUUUCAAAAGCCAUUAAAUCUAAAUCAAAUUAAAUUCUCAAGCAAGCAUCACUUUAAAUCUAAUUUUAAGAUCAAAUCUCAACUACCUUUAAAGUAAUAUGCAUCUAUCCAAGAUUAAAUCUAGACAAAACUUGAAUCGAAGCUCAAUUGAAAAGAUGCUGUGGGAUAAUUUUUUUUAAUUUUUUUUUUUACAUGUGUAUAAUAUAUUCAAACUAAUGGAUGUUAUGAAUUUGGAUGUCUCUAGGUUUACUUUGUACGUGUAUUUUUAGUAGUUGAGGUUAAAAGAUGGAAUAAUUUUAUCUUUGGUCAUAUUAACUUGCACAGUUUUCUAUUUAAUCCUCUCUCUUCUUCUUUCUUUGGAUUCAGUGAUUUAUAUGGAAAUUUGUCUAUUCCAUGACUCUGAUUUUCAUAGGUGAUUAAUUUUUCCCUUGCUAAUAAUCAGGUUAUAAGCACGUCGUCUUGAAGAAAGAAAGAAAGAAAUAAUAUUCCUCUACAUGGGAUUUUAAAUAACUUCUUCAAAAAUGAAAUAAAGUGGAUUGGAUAUUAUAAAUCCAUAAUCGUUCUAUUAUCAGCAUGAUCUGUUUCGCUCCCAUUUGAAUUUUUCGGCUCCACCCAUUUUAUAUUUUUUAAUAAUUUUAAUGUUCAUUUGAUAUAGAAAUACAAAGAAUAAUUUAGGAAGAUCUCACUUAAAUAUCUUAGGGUUCAUGGUAAAGAUAUUAUUUCAUUUCAUUUAAAAAAAUAUAAAUAUAAAAGAUAAAAUAAUAAUUUUAAAACAUCAAAUUUGAGUGAUAAACAAAUGUCAUAUUUACUAAAUGACUGUUAAAUUAAAGAGUACAAUAAUAUUUUUUAAUAAAAAAAUCAUCUAUUUUUACUUUUAGAAAUUAGGUUAACAAGUUAACUAGAUAGAUACAUGUGAUGUGUUAUAUGUGCCUCAUUUUGACGUAUAAUGACUAAUUUUUAACUUUAAAAACAAAUGAAAUUUUUUAACAAAGAGAUUAAUUUGCUAUUUGAUCUAAUGUAUAGAGACUAAUUUGUCUUUUUUUUUAGUGAAAAUAGUAAAAUGUGAUCUAACACCUAAUACAAAGACCUCCAUAAUACUUUUGUCGAAACCAUCUUUUUAUUUUCAAAUUUUAAAUUUAAUGAAAAACAGGGAAUCGAUUUUUUGAAAAUAGAACAUGGAGUCGCCACCGAUACUUUUCUUUUGGUGUGAUCGGGUCACCUAAGAAUUUGGUUAUUUUUAAUAAAACAUUUUUGGUUUACCAAAAAUAACGAUUUUGGUCUACGAAUUUUUUGAGAAAACGGGUUCGGGAGUCGGUUACGCAUGAGAAAGGAUUAGCACCCUCACUACACCCAAAAUUGGUACCAAAUCAAUUAAAUACUGUCCUUAUGUCUAAGAUUUAAAAAUGUUUUUGAAAUGUGGCUCUUUGAACAAAGAUUUGAAAAGCCCGAGUUGGCCGUUGAAAUCCUCUUGUUUCAGAGGAAUACAGCAUCACAUCCAGUACGAUAGGACACUAUCCGUUACCCUCGGAAACACGAUAAACUUCGACUUCCAAAAAUUUAUAAGUGGAAAUUACAAAAGGAUGCCCAAUUAUUUAGUCCAACGAAAAAUCGAAACCCAGCACAGUAGGGCACGAUUCCUCGAAUUUCCUAAACAUUGAACAUUGCUUCGCCUUGGAAAACACGAGUGAAAUUCUAAAGGAAUAUUUGAUCGUUUUGAACAAACGGGAAACCGCAACCCAGCACAAUAGGGCACGAUUCCCCGAAUUGUCAAACAUCGAACAUUACCUUCGUUUUGGAGAAUUUUUAAAAGCAUGAGUGAAAUCCUAAAGGAAUAUUCGAUUUUUUUGAACAAACGAGAAAUUACAACUCAGCACGAUAGGGCAUGAUUCCCGAAUUGCCAAACACCGAGUAUUGCCUUCGUUUUAAGUAAAUUUUAAAUGAAUAAUUAUAAAAAUAGCUUAAAACAUAUUAAUACGACUCGAAAUAAGACGAAAUUAAUCAAAAAGGUUGGAUUUUAUAAAACCACAUUUCGUAAACCAAGUGGAAAACAAUGAUAUGGGAUAAAAUAUGUAUGCAUAGAGGUACGAGAAUGGAAGAAUGAAGAUAAUGCAAUUUAUUUAAUCAACUAACAAACAUUUAAGCAACUAAGUAUAACUAACUUGAAAAUAUAACUCAACUUCAAUUAUGCAUGGAGAAUAAUUAACAUGACAAUAUAAAACAAUGAACAAAUAAUAUACUACAACAACAUGCAUGACAUAAUAUAAAAUGAUUACUACUAGAUGCACAAAACGAAAUGCAAAUCAAAGAAGCAAUAUGGUAUAAAAUUAUUUUAAAAUAAUGAUAAGUACGCGAUACACACUGUAAGAAUCGAUGGAUUUAAAAAACAUUUGUAAAGACAAGCUUAAUAUCCACAUGCAAUUAUUAAAAUAUAUAUUGUAGAAUGAAUAUUUUUAAAACACAUAAUGUAUAAGUUGACAAAUUUGCAUAGAAAAUAAGAAUAUAUAAUUAUUGAAAUAGAUAUUAUAGAAUAAAACUUUGAAUCAAAUUGCAUGUAAAUAUUUUAAACACAAACUCCUUUAAAGGUUUACAAAGUACAUGAUAAUUUAAAUAAUAUAUGUAUAGAAGAAUAAUAAAAAUACAUGACAAGACAUAACACCCAAAAUAGAUUUAUAUAUAAAAAAUGUACAUGUAAAUUUAUAAAAAAGAAUGAGAUUAAUAAUAAUAUAUAUAUAUAAAUUUUAAGUUAGUCUAAAAAUUAUACAUACCCUUAUAUCAAACGUUUAAAUAAUAGGCUAUAUAAAACAUCAAAAAGCAAUAUAAUAUAAAGAUAUAUUCAAAAAUAAUAAUUUUACAAUUGCAAAAAAAUGAAGUUUCUAAAAUUAUUUCAUAUAUGCACAUAAAGAAAAUACUUGACACAUCAUAAAACAAAGACUGUUUUUUUUUUUAAAAAAAGAAUCUAUUAAAAUAAUAAGUGUAUUAAUAUAUAUACAUAUAAAUCUAAAAGUAAGUAUGUGUAAAUUAGCAUAGAAACGAUAAUAUGUAUAGGGCUAAAUUAAUUACACAAUAGAUUUAAGAACAUACUUAUAUACGUAAAAAGAAAAAUAUAUGUAUAAAAUAUGCGGGUUUAGUAACUUAUAGAUUAAAUACGGAUAUCCAUAAACGUAUAUACAUAUAUGUUAAUAGCUAAAAAAUAUUACAUACGAUUAUAUAAUAAAAUACAAGAAUAAAUUUAAAAGAAAUUAUGUGCGUAAAUUAAUAUAAGGUUAAUAAUAUAUACAUGCAAUAAAAUUAACUUCAAUACAAAGUAUACUUAUAUAUAAUAGCGUAUGUAAAAAAAAACAUUACAAAAGUGAUUUAAAAAAAAAAAAACGAAAUCAAAUCAUCAAAAUAUCUUAUAAUACAGAAAAAAAAUAAGUGAACACGGAUAAAAAAAUAUUGAAUGUGUCUUAAAAAACUAUAAUAAGCCAUAAAAUGAAUAAAUAAAGAAAAGAGACUCAAUUAAAAAGAAUUAAAAUAAGAGGGGCAAAGUAUAAAUGAAAACAACUGCCAAAAUAACAAAGGGGACUAGAAUGUAACAAGUGCGAAUGCACAUGGACUAGAUGUGAAAAUAAUCCAGACCUCCAAAACGCAACACUGCACUGCGAACUAAAGUGCAAACGCGCACAAAUUAAUGAGCUAAUUUAAGAAAACAAAACGGAUCAGCUAAGGCGCGAUUGAAUGCGCACGGGAACGGGGAGGACCCAGCUCGAAAAUAACCUAUUUUUUGCGAAAAGCUACGGGUUCGGGUCCUGGAGCGGGUUGACGCGGGGACCCUCCCCCUUUGAAACGGCGCCGUUUCGUAUUUUGCUUAAAACAAUAAAAAAAAUGGCAAUCAGCCAUUUUACCAGCCACAAAACCGAACACCCAAUUGCUAGGGUUUCGGCGCCGCAGCUCUGUGGCUUUUCCAGUCCCCUUUGCCCUUUUGGUUGACUUGCAGGCUACCACGGCACCACGCGCGCCUUCAUCAUCCGUCGUAGCUCUGACCGGAUCCCCAAGGAUCCGUUUGGCCUUGGACGGAGAGGCAACUGUCGAUUAAGUCGGCGUCGAUCGACAGGUAAGAGAUCCUCCCCCUUCUUUAUACUCGUAUCACAGAUAAAGAAAAAUAAAUAGGAGAUAAAUAAAAAAGAAAAACGAUGAAUGAACAACCUUGAAAUCUUUGCUUUCUCUAUUUGAUUGCUUGAUAUUCGUUUGUUUUUUGGUGCGUAUCUCUGUGUUUAUGUUGCGUUCGUAAAUGUGCGUAACCAAAUACAAUCGAUCCAUUCCUGGCUUUAUAGCCGAAACUAAAAGGAAAAAUCAAAAAUCAAAAUACAAUCUUUUUGCUUUUUGCUGCUGUCGUUUGUCCAUUUCUUCGCAGGUACAGGGGUACGGGGCCAGCUGUGGGGAUAUGUGGCACUCGACGUGGGGUGUACGGAGGCGUUGAAGGCGGUCGUACGGCGCGAAGGCUGGGGCUCGCCUGCGGUUGCGGCGCAAAUGUGAGGAGGAAACCCUAGGGUUUCUUUUCUAAAAACAUUGGGCCUAUCGGGCUUGUAAUCUGGGUUGGUCUUUGAUAUUGGGCUGUAAGGUAUUAGUUUGUAUUGGGUCUGGGACUUGGGUUAUGUAUUUGGACAUUUUAAUGGACUAUCAUAAUAAUAGUUUUUAUUUUUGUAAUAAUUCUUGGUUUUGUAUUUGCACAGGCCCGGGCCAAAAUUGGUCCUUACAACUUUUACUGGCAUUCUUCUCAUUGCAAGGGGUGAAGCUAGAAAAAAUUUUUAGGGGCGAAAUUAAAUUAUAAAUUUUAUAAUAGUAAAAAUAUAAUUUUUUAAAGGACUAAAUAAAAAAAUUAUUAUUUUUAAAAAGGUCAAAUUAUAAUUUUACUAUUAUUAAUUUAAAAUUUUAAAAAUUUUAAAAGAUAAAAAAUAAAAAUUUCUCCAUGUGCAGAGUACAUACUAGCCCGACAGAUUCCCCCUUGCUCAGAGCUUGCAACUGCAAUAAGAAACUUUUUUCCUAUAUGAUCACAGGUUAUAUUGAGUUGAAGAUAAAUCUUUGUCAUAUUCAUUAAAACUCUCCAUUAGAAUUUCGCCCUUGUAAAGAGAGCAGAGCCACUAGAGCAAAGGAAGGGGAUUGAGAAGAAUCCUACCCCAUAAAAUGAAAAAUUAUUUAUUUUAUAUUUUCAAAAUUCAUAAGUUUUAAAUUAAUAUAUAAUAAAAUUAUAAUGUCUUUCCCAAAAAUGUUAGAAUGUUGAUUUAAUUCUUUUUAAAAUUUAUAAAAAUAUAAAAUAUAAAAAUAAGAUUAUAUUUUAAAAUAUAUAGCUACACCCUGCUAUCACCUCAACCUCAACCAUUUUGGCAAUUGAAAUUUGGGGUGUUUUCAAUGGAAUGAAGAACAACUUGGAGAUAUUUUAUUUCUUGAAACCCAAUCUGCAACUCAAAUUGCUGAUUUGGGAAUAAGAUUUAUGUAAAUGCCUUUGGAAAUAAAACAUUUUCCUUAUGAAUAGUAUUAUUGAUUCAUGCCUGCAACCUUAGAAACUAGAUCAAAUGAAAAUAGUAACUCAGAAAAAUCUUAGAUUUGCAAACAUGUUUAUCAUCCACAACUAUAUUCAAUUUGAUUUCAUCUCUGGCAAAAAUCUUUAAACAUGUUUUGCAUCAAAAAGUUGAGAAUAUUCCAAAGCUCAACCAUAAAAAAUAAAUUGGAGAGGGAAAGAAAUACUCUGUUAAACAUUUUAUUUAUAGAACGUCAAAAUCUAGUUGUAUUAGGACCAAAACAGCUCAAAUCCAUUACUUUUCUCAUAUUCUCUUCAGAUUUAUUAUUCACCAGUUUAUAAGAAGCAGGUGAAGAAAGGAUGUUGGAAUGACGAGCAAAUGAUCUGAUAUUGGUCCUUGCAUGUUGAUGAAGCGACCUUAUUGUGUAAUUCCACCUGCAAAUCCCUUGGUCCUUAAGGGCCUCCACUGCACCUAUUCUUGCUGCCACAAUCCAUGCUCUACUCAUUGUUGAUUUAUUUUUUAAUUGAGGUUGAGAAAGUGAAAUGGAGGUUGGGGUUUUUUAUAGGUGAAAAGAGUGGGGAAAAUCCCAAAAUCAAGAGGCGACUGAAGCCAGAUAUGCGGAUCGAAAUUCCCCGGUUUUGGCGACGAAAACCAAAUGCUAACUUUUUCACUCACUUUCGGUUUUUGCCGACGAAAACAAGAAAUCUGAGGGCUGUUUCCGGUUUUGCUGACAAAAUAAAAGGUUAGAUGUUAAAUUUUGAUUUAAUGUGUAAUUUGAUAACUGAAAUGUGAUUUUAUUUUAAAUAUACAUAUAAUAUUUUGAUUUUAAUGUGUAAUUUUAAGAUUUAUCUUCAAAAUAAAAAUUAUGUACUUUUACAUAUGACCCCUCCUAACCUUUAAAUCAGAAAGAAAAUAUGCUUAAAACGCAGGUUGUAGGUUUGGCAACUUUAGUUUUUAUUUUUAUUGGGAUAUUUUAUUGUUUAUUUAUUUCUUAUUUCUUUUUGAUUUAUUAUAUAGAUUAAUCUAUGAACUUGAUAAUUAUUUUUAAGUUCGUACUUUAAAUUUUUUUUUUUAAAAAAGUUGAUACUUAUAAAUUUUUGAAAAUUUUGAUCACAUGGAUGAAUAAUACAUAAAGAGGUAAUACGUUGAUUACUCUUUAAUUAUUACAAAAUUAAAAAAAAGAGCUUGAAAUUAAAUAUAAAUAAGUUAUAAUAUUAUUUUAAAUAAAUAAAAUUCAAAAAGUUGAAUAUAUAUUUUACUCAAAAAAUAUAAAAAUAAAAAGCUUUUAGCUAAAAAUUUUAUGGAACUACAAACAAAAUUGAAAAAAAAUAAAGAGUUAAAAAAAUCAAAAUAUUUUAAAAUAAAAAAAUUGAUCAGUCAAUUUCCGUCAACAUUUGAUCUAAUGCUUGUCAAUUCUUUAUUGUUAUUGUAAGACCCAAAUUUUGCCCGGGGCCCAAUAAAAUCACAGCUCAAAUACCAAAACUCAACUAAAACCCAAAAUACCCCAAGCUCAAAUACAACCCAAAAUAAAAAAUAAAAAAAAAUAAAAAAAUGAAGAAAAAAAAAACCUAACCUCUUCACCCUAUGUGCCGCCCUAAGCGCCGCGCUAGUCCUCUUUUGUCUACCACUUGUAAAAAAGAAAAGAUAGUAAAUAAUAAAAAAAAUGUUGUAACAAGGCUAUAAAAGCCAUCAUAAAACCAAAUGUAAAGGAGAAGGAGAGAUAAAAAAAAUAUUGUAUUUUCACAUAGAGAUCAAAAAUCCAAAGCAAAAAAAGGUUGAUUUUAAUUUCUUGUAUUCCCUUUGUUCAUUUUUCAUUUUUGUUAUUUUAUUUUAUUUUCUUUAUUAUAUAUAUACAUAAUUUAAUUGAAUUACUUAUUUGAAUUCCCUUGCAAACAUGUUUAUAUUUUUCCCUUUAAAUCUAUUUAUGUAUACCAUUUAUUCCCCCAAUUUUAAAUUAUACUUUGUUUAUUUCAAACACUUGUCUAUAUUACUAUUUUUUUUAUAUACAAUGUUUAUAUUAAGUUUUAUGCUUUAUGUAUCUUGUUAAUUGUUGGUAAGUAAAUCUUGUUUCAAAUUAUUUUGUAUAAUUAUUGAUUUAUAUUAUAUAGUAUGUCAUUCUUAUAUUCUUUUGUAUAUUCUUACAUGGUUGCAUUUAUAUAAUUCAUCUAUGUUACAACUUGUUAAUAUGUAUAUUAUUCGUUUUAAAAUUUUAUAUAGGUACACAUUACUAUUGCUAUGCACAUAAUAUAUAUUAUAUACAUAUAUACAUUUUUUGAAUCUUGGUUUUUAAAUUAUUUUGCAUAACACUAACUUUAAAUUUCCUCAUAUAAUACUUAUUUUGAAGCUCAUUUAUAUGUUAAACUUUAUAUACUUUAUGUAUUAUUUAUUUUUAUUUUUUAUUUAUUUUACGAUCUAUUGUAAAUUUUUUGCAUGUAUUAUCUGUUUAUGCAUAUAUAUAUAUAAUUUAGCUACUUUUAAAUUGUUCAUUCCAAGUUUAUUUGUUUUAACAUUUUUUAUUACCUUUUAAAAUAUUUUUCUUAAAAUGGAUUUUUAUUUAACCAUUAGUUAGAAACGUUAAAUAGUGUAUGUGGUAAGAUUAUUAUCAUUGGGCAUGUUUCAAUUUUCGUGUUUGUACUUUUCAAAAAAUUGUAUAAUAUAUUAUUGAUAUAUGUUUUCCAUAUUUGUUACUUUGUUUUGCAUCCCCAUGUAUUAUAUUAUGAUUUAGAUUGCCAACCUAUUUGCUUGAAAUCAACUUAUUUGCCUGAAAUUAUUCAUUUCAUUUUCUUUGCUUCAAAUGAAUCGAAUAAAUACGUUGCAAGUUUGUUUCCAUAAUCACUCCCUUUUAAAAAAAAUAAAAAAAUAAAAUUUCAAAUCGAGGUAAUAUUUCGUCUUUGGUAAUUCGAGAAAUUGUGCCCUAACGUGUUGGGUUUCGAUUUUCUGUUUGACCAAAUAAAUAUUCUCUCGAGAUUUCGUCCAUAUUUUUUUCAAAUUAAAAAUAAGGCAAUAUUCCGAAUUUAGGAAAUUCAAGAAAAUAGUACCCUAACUUACUAGGUUUCAAUUUUUCUUGUUUAACCUAAAUAACUAAAUAUCCUUUUGAAAUUUCAAAAUCAUGAGUUUUGGAAAUUAUAAAAUGAUCUUGUAUCGAGGAUUUGAAAUGUUGUGUCCUAUCGUGCUGGGUUGCGCUUUUUCAUUUGUUCAAAACAAUCGAAGAUCCCUUUGGAAUUUCACUCACGUUUUCUAAAAACUCUUUAAAAUGAAAGAAAUGUUCGAUGUUUGGCAAUUCGGGGAAUAGUGCCCUAUCGUGUUAGGUUGCAAUCUCCCGUUUGUUCAAAAUAAUCGAAUGUCUCUUCGGAAUUUCACUCAUAUCUUCCAAGGUGAGACAAUGGUCAAUAUUUGGAAAUUCGAGGAAUUGUGCCCUACUGAGCUGGGUAUCGAUUUUUCGUUGGACCAAAUAGUUGGGCAUCCUUUUGUUAUUUUCGAAUUAUAAAUUUUCGAACGUCGAAACAAGAAGAUUUUUGGCAAAGGACUCGGGUUAUUCAAAUGUUAUUAACAAGAACCACAUUUCAAAAACAUUUUUAAUUUUAGACAAAAGGACAGUAUUUAAUCGAUUUGGUACCAAUUUUGGGCGUAAUGAGGGUGCUAAUCCUUCCUCAUACGUAACCGACUCCCGAGCCUAUUUUCUCAUAUUUUCGUAGACCAAAAUCAUUGUUUUAGUAAACCAAAAUGUUUUAUUAAAACAACCCAAAUUUCUAGGUGAUCCGAUUACACCUAAACAAGAAAAGAUUGGUGACGACUCCAUUUUCGCUUUCCAAAAAGUCGAUCCAUCAUUUUUAAAUAAAAAAAAGGAAAAAAAAAUGGUUUCGACUGUUAUUUUUUUUUCAAUUGUUUAAAAUUGUAACUAUUUAUAUAUAUUUAUUUUUUUUAUGUAUUUUGAAUUUUUAUAUUUUAAAACUAUUAUAAUUAAAAAAAAAAGAAUAAAUCUUGAGAGCUGAUUUUGCUUUGAAGCAAGGAUAUCAAAAAAUUAUUUUAGUUACAAACUCACUGAUUGUGUAUAAGAAGAUUUUGAAGAGGGAUAAUCGCAGUAGUUAGAAACUCAAGCUUAUCUUGUAGAAAUUGGGCUCUGUCUUGGCCAGGAUUUCCAUGUUCAUUUUGAGUUUGUAAGAAGAUCCGUUAAUUUGGUUGUUGAUUGGGUGGUUUCUUAUUAUAAGAAGAAGAUGUGUAUUUUAUUACUAGUUGCGCCAAUCAUCUUCUUUGGCUCAUAUUCUGGACAAGGAUGGUCUACCAGCCCUGUUUGGUUAAGUUUUUUUGGUUUCUGUUCUGUGUUUAAUUGCUAUGUAUAGUGAUUGAGUUUAUUUUUUCCUUUUUCCUUCAAUGAAUUGUUAUUUGACAAAAAAAAAAAAGAAUAAUUCACACGUUACUCUCUUAGAUCAUGUCACCCAAAAUUUUCAAAAAAAAAAAAAUAGAUGUUAGUCAUAAGUAUCAACUUGUGUAAUAAUAGUCAACCUUAAGUACCAAUGUGAUCUAAAAUAACAUGCGAAGUCCCAAAAUGAGAAACAUUACCACAUUCAAGAGUAAAUUUAUAUAUCAAACCUUUUUUUUUUUUUGGAGUUGAAGAAGUGACUCCUAUUAUUUAGAUUUUGUACUCAAUUUUUUGGUUAAAAUAUGGCAUAAGUUUUUAUACUUUUUAAAAAUUGAAAUUUAGUUCUUAUAUGUUUAUUUUUAAGAAUUUAGUAUCUCUACUUUUUAGAUUUUAAAAUUUAUAUUCUACUGUUAACAUAGUUAAUUUUUUAGUUAAAUUUGUGUUAAUUACAAUAUCAUAUUUUUAGUUACAUAGUGUAUUGUUUUUAUUUCAAAAUCUUACACCAACAAAUUUAACCAAAAAUAUUUAGUAAUGUUAACAAUUAGACUUAAAUUUUAAAAUCUAAAAAGUAUAAAAAUUAAAUUUCAAACUUUUAAAAAAUAGAGGGACUUAUGACAUAUUUUAACCUUUACAUUUUCAAGUUUAUUAUAUUCAAGAAAAGAAAGUCAUGGUUAAGGCAUUAGCAUAGAUUAUUGACAUUAAAAUUGACAUUAUGAGAUGUUAAUAAUGUUUGGCCAACCCUAUGACCUCCUUCGAGUGGGUUUUGUACUUCAUCCCUGCAAACGACCCCAAAAAAUUUAAUUAAAAUAACCAAUUAUGUUUAUAUGAAAAUGUUAUAAUAAAUGUUCAUAAUUGCAAUAGAAUGAUUAUAAAAUAAUAAGAAAAUAAAAUAAGAAUACACAUAUUAUAUUUUACAUGGAAACAUUUUCGGGAAAAAAAUCACGGGCAGAGAAGAAGAAAUUCACUAAUGUUGAAAAACGAAUUAUAUAAAAAGAGUUUCGACUAUAUCUAUUUAAGGAUUGAAAAACCUGUUCUAAUCAAAGUCAAAUAUUAGAAGUAUAGUUCUAUAUGAACUCAACUUGUGUGAUAUGGCCUUCGACCUCUCGACCCCACAAAUCACUUUAUUUUGCUACUGUAUUUAUUUAUUCAACAAGUGAUGGGAUUCAAGUCACAUAAACUCUAACAAAAAAAAAUUGGGAUGAACCAAAUAUGAAAUAUCAAAAUUUUUAAGAUUAUAUGAUUAAAUAUUUUGUUAAAUACCAAAAUUUUAAGGAUAUUAAAAAUUUUAAGGAAUUACUAAAAUUUCUAAGCGUAACUUUUUUAGAUAUUUUGAAUUAUAUUACAAAUUUUAAGAAAAUAUCAAUAGUUAUAUGGAAGGUGAUUAGACAUUUUGAUAUACCAAAAUCAUGUUACACAAGUUUUUAUCAAAACUUUUAAGAGUUUAACCUUAGAUAUUUUGAUAUAUCCAUAAUUUCUAAGAGAAUACUAAUAUUUUUAAGAAACCUCGUUGGAAAUUCUGGUACACCAAAAUCCGGAUUUACAAGCAUUUACCAAGAUUUCUAACAAAAUAUUAAUAUUUAUCAUAGCAUACUUUGAUAUAUACCAAAAUUUCUAAUGGAGUCCAAUAUUUCUAUAAAACUUUGUUAGAAAUUUUGGUAUACUAAUAUUUGGAUUUACAACUUUAUAUCAAAAUUUCUAGCAGAGUACCAAUAUUUCUAUGAAAUUUCAUUAAAAUUUUUGGUGUACCAAAAUCCGUAUUUACAAGCUUUUGUCUAAAUUUUCAAUGAAAUAUUAAAAUUUCUAAGAGCUUAUCCUUAGAUAUUUUGAUAGAUACAUAAAAAUUUUGGUUGGAUCCGAACUUGAUAUUUGUAAAGGUUAGACAUUUUUAAAAAACUAUUUUAAGAACAGUUAUUUCUCCUCCAUGUGCAGACAAAUCAAGAAAUAUUAUUCUCCAGAUAUAAAACGUUUACUCGAACAAAAUAAAUUUAAAAAUUAUUCUAAAUAAGAAUGAAAUCCAAUUACAUACAAAAAAAAAAAAUACUUUAAUAGUUUCCUUCUCUUAUAAUUCAAUUUCAUAUUUCAAUUCUCAUUUUUAGUGUUUAUAUAUAUAAAAUAUCAAGAGAUAUCUAUGGCUGUAUUAUGUCUAUUUACAUAGUUAUCAUGUCUAUUUACAUAUAGAGACACCUAUUUUCAAUUACUUUCUUUCUUCCAUUUUAUAUAUACAUAGUAUGUAUAUAUGAUUGAUGUAAUAAUAUAAAACUUUAAUAGUAUAUAAUAUACAACAGUUACCAUAGUUUCUAAUGGAGUACUAAUAUUUCUAAUGGAGUACAAAACUGUAUCCUCAACUAACAAAGAAAAAUAAAAGAUUUUAGAGAUUCAAUCUGUAUAAAAUCCAACCAAAAGAAUGGAAAUUCAGAGAAAAGAAAGUGUUUACAACCCAACUUUAGAUGUAUUUCAUAAAUUUUUUUCAUAUGAUAAUCCCCAAUACAACAAGAUCCAACAUAAUAUGAAAAAAAUUUGAAAAGGCUGAUUUACACCAAUUCAGAUCAUCUCUCUCUAUAAAUUUUUUUCUCUAACAAAAAGGAUAAAAGCUGUAGUAAUUUGUAUGAACCAAAUGCAUAGAACAUUAAAAUCUAACAGUAUUAGGACCCCAACAGUUCAAAUCCAUAACUUUCUUCAUAGUCUGCUCAGCUUUCCUCAUCUUUUCCUCCCUCAACUUAUUUGAAACAGCAGCAGCAGCAGAAGAAGAUGAAGAAGAAGAAGAAGAAAAGAAAGAAGAAGAUCUGAUAUUGUUCUUGGCAUGUUGAUGCAGUGACCUAAUGGUGUAAUUCCACCUGCAAAUGCCUUGGUCUUUCAAUGCCUCAACUGCUCCGAUUGUGGCUGCCACAAUCCAGGCUUUGCUUGCUGAAACUGCUCCACUGCUCAUUCUUCAAAAAUGGGUCUUUGAUGGGAUUUUGCUUGGAGGUUUAGAUUGAGAUUUUUGGUUGGUGAAAGGGAAGUUGGUUUGGUUUUAUAUAGGAAAGUGGGUUUGGUUUUAUAUAUAAAGGUGGGGGGAAGAACAGGACCCAUGGUUUUGGGAGACAAAACCAAGGGGCUUGAAGGGUGGGUGGGUUAUGCCAUAGGAGAUUAUUGAGUUUUACGCGUUGGAAAAUAUAAACUGAUGGCUUGAACAUGUGACUGUCUUGGAAUCGACUUUAUAGAAAGAUUCUAGGAACCAUCCUCACUUGGCGUCCCUAUUUAAAUUUUAUUACAUGUAUUUCGACCUCAUCAUGUGACGGCUGUCUCUGUUUAAGUUCCAGGAUUUCGUUGGAAAGUUGGAAGGGUUUUAGAUUAAAUAUUAGGACUAAAAAAAAUUAUUAAAAUACGAAUUGAGUUUGAGUAAAAGUGUUUAUAAGUUAGGUUGAGUUGAGCUUAGUAACAUAUUUUAUGAUUGUUCAAGUCUGAUUCGAUUCGAAAUAUGUAUAUAAAAUUUUGUCUAAAUUCAUUCAUAUUUGUAAUAGAUUAAUCUAAACUUAUUUUAGGCUCGUCUAUAUUAUUUUUAAAACUUUUUAAAAAUUAUAUUAUAUUAUUUUAAUAUUUAAUAAAAAAUUUAUAUUUUUUUAUUUAUUGAAAGUUUUUAUAAAGUCAUCUUAAUUAUUUUAAUAUUUAUAUUAGAGUAAUAUUAUAUAUUUAGUAUAAGUUUAUUUCUUAUUGUGUUCUAAAUUAUAAAAUAUAUAAAAAUAAUAUAAUAUAAAGUAUUAUAAACUUAAAAGCGGGUUGGCUAGGCUCAAUUCUUGAAUGUUUAAGUUUGAGCUCGAACUAUAUUUUAAAUGAGCCUAAUUUUUUCCCAAGCCCUCGGACUUGAUAUUUUUGUCAAGCCUUCUCAAAUUUCAGGCGGGUCAUUGGGUCUAGACAAGUAACCCGACCCAUAAACAAGUCUCAGUUUGAGUUUUAAUAUUUAAAUUUUUAAUUUGAUUUGGUCGUUUUUUAAAGUUUGUACAAUAUUAUAUUAUGUUAUUUUUAUAUAAUAUACAAUUUCGAACACAUGAAAUUUAAAUUUAUGAUAAUAUAUAAUAUUAUGAUCUAAACAUUAAAAAUGUCAAAUUGAUUAUAUAUAAAAUUUCAAUAACUGAAAAAUAUAUAAAAAGAUUAAAUUAUAAAUUAUAAAUAAUAUAAAUAUAAAUAUUUUUUUAAAUUUUAAAAAAUAAUAUAGGCUUAGAUUAGUUAUUGUACAAAUAUGAGUGAAUUUAGAUAAAAAUUUUCCACAAUAUUAGUUAUAAUUUUGUGCCUUAUAUUGAGUCUAAUUGUAGUUAUAUGUAUUACUUGUAAUUAUGGGUUCUACAUCUACCUUCAACAACAACAAUAACAUUAAAUUCAACGUGUAAUAAUUUUUUUUUAAUUUUAAAAAUAUGAUAUUAAUUAUUUUAAUAAAAAAUAAUAAGCUUAUCUAAUUAAAAGGGUAUUAUAACUUUUGGCCUUUGAAUUUGGUAAGUAGGUUACAGUAAAAAAACAGGGGAUAAUGUAACUUUUGGCCCCUAAACUUGGCAAGUAGGUCUAUAUUGGCCCAUUAACUUGACAAUUAGGUUCAUUUUGGUACAUGUACCUUUUUUUUUGGUCCAUUUUGAACUUGACAAUUAAGUUCAUUUUGAUCCUUAAACUUGAAAAAUCUAAAAGGUUAGUGAUGUGGCACUUUGAGUUUGAAAAAAAAUUAGAUGAUGAUGAUAUGGUACAAUCUCAAAGUGUCAUAUUUAGUGUUUUAAUAAUUGAACCCAUGGUUGAAUAGGAUAGACCACCAGUUCUCGAAUCAACCAGUUCGAUCAAUUCAAUCGUUGGUCUAACAAUAAUUAAAUAAAUAAUUAAAAUUCUUAAAAAAUUUAAAAAAAGAAAAAAAGAAAGAUAAAACCAGAUUUGGUUAAAAUUCUCAUAAAUGCUGAUUUUAUAAAAAAAUGACCGGAUUAAGCCGGUUUUUGAAAAAUUAUUGGAUUAGGCUGAAAAGACAAAAACACUUCCAAUUGGAAGUAUUUUUCUUCUGUUAGGAUUAUUUUAUUUUAGGGUUAGAGUUUUGAUUUUUGUUAAGGUAGGGUUAGGGUUUUGUAUGUUUUAGUGUUUUAGAGUUUAUGGGUUUAGGGUUUUUUUAUAUUUUUUAAUUUUUUAUAUAAUUUUUUGACUUUUUAUAAUUUUUUAGUUAUUUUAAAAUAUAUAUUUUAAAAUAUCUAAUAUUAUAUUUUAAAAUUUGAAAUUAUCUAUUGCCAAAUUUGGUGUAAUUUUUAAAAAUGACAGGUACUAAAAGAGUAUUUACAACAAUCGUAUAUUCGAAUUGUGAAAUUUAAUUCAAUUCAAAAUCGAAACUCGAACUAAUCAAAACUCUUAGUUUGUAUUUUUUUUUGAUUUUUUUAAUGCAACUGAGUUUUGAUCACUCGCAACUUACGAUAAGUUAAAGUCCACCAGAAUUUUUCAAAAAAAAUUAUCUCGGGAUACCUAAUGGGUGAGUGGGAAAUUGUAGGAGUUGAAAGUGGUAAUGAGAAAACGCUCCACGUAGGGCGCGUUUUCAAUGAAUAUUUCUGACAUGUCACUAAAAAUGCGCCCUAUGUGGAGUGUUUUCCCUCUACCAAAUUCAACACAUGCAAACUUCCCACUCACCCGAGAAAGUUUUCUGAAUCAAUUGCCACUCACCCCGACUUUAUAAAAGGAUGACUUUUAGCAUUGUGUGCUAUAAGACAAUUUCGAGCAAACAAAAUGGCAAGAAGAAUCGCAAGAAGAGGAACCGCAAGGCAUUUUCUAAGGCAUAAUUUGGAGCAAACACGUAAUUACAUCAAGUAAGGUUUGAUUUUUUUAUUCAUAUAUAAUUACAACUCUAUUUUUUUGCAUAAUGCUUUUUUUUUGAACAUGUGAAACAAGUUAUUUCAUUGAAAAUGAGUGGACGAAUUAAUGUUGUUUAUUACGACAGUGAAGUCUGUGACAUCGAUAAUGGGGUUUUUUUUAAUCAGAAAACACAAUGUGGUUGCAUUUCAACCCUAACGUACAAUUUUCGGAGCUACAUGUAAGAAUUAGGUAAAAAAUCGUCGGAUCCAACCAGAUGAGAGUAUCUUUAUUAAAAUAUCGAUUCUGUGCUUCGAUUGACCUUGUCAAAUAUGACGCUUUCGAAAUUAGAGGCGCAAGGGGGAUGGAGGCGAUAGUGCAAGUGCAUAUUGCUAGUGGAUCACCAAUACUCAAGUUAUAUGUGAAGUUUGAAAUCACAGAUGAAGGCGAUUAAAGGUUGACAUAAGUUCCAGUUUGAGAGGUCGGAAUAGAAGAACAAGUUAAGAGUCUAACAACGUAGUUGUGCGGUGGCUCACUUCUUUGUUAGAAAGUUUCUAUUAUGAUAUCUCAUAAUCAUCAAUGGGAAGACACUCAUCGGUUUAGCUUUAGAUUUCAACUGCGACAGGCAACACAUCCAACAGUCAGGUUUUGGUAGUAACCCAAAAUAUUGGAUCCCAGUACGACACUCAGUUGUGGUUUUGAUUUGAACUUCGGUCAACCGAUGUUCAUGUUGGGAACAUUUACAGGGGAAUGACAUUAAGUUCCAGCGGUUGACAAUCAACAGAUGAUUUUGGUUGUUUUGACAAAUAUACUAUAAGGGAUGAUGUACUCCUAAUAACGUCCAUCGGCGAAGGGAUAUCCAACCCUAAAGGUUUUGGUGGAGUUAAGAAUGAAGAGGGUACUGAAUUGAAGUUGGUCCAAUCUUGGAGCCAAGGGUUGAUGGUUCAACAAUUGCAUUAUUUUCUAAACAAAAGCCGAUUUCAACUGAACCAGAAAAUGAAUGUUCUGGCGGUGAAGGUCCAAGCAAAGAUUCUGAAUAAGAUCUGCUGUUCAAGGAUUACUCACCUCCGACCCACCAUGUGGAUUUUUUAGCAGAAUGAGAGUUGAAAGUUGUAGAAUUCCUACAGAAAAGAUCAUACCAUGUGAGUUCUUCAUUGGAUUAAGGCCUCAUUUGGUUUGACUUUUAGCACCAGUGAGGUGCAGUUGGGGUAGGUUUAUGCUUUUAAUCUCAUUGAUAUGCUGUUUAGUUCAGUAUUACAGUUCAGUGAAAAUUAAUUUCAACCUCACUGCUGUGCUGAAAAGGGGCUGGAGAUUUCAACAGCAAUUAAGGGCAUUGGGGCAGUGGGUAUUUUUAACAGACAAAAAUACCCAUACUUUUAUUUAUUAUUUUAUCAUUUUAUCCUUGAAAGUUAAAUUGAUUUCUUUCCCAACCUCAUUUGUUUUUAGAUUUGGGAAGAAAACAACUGUUUAUUUUACCAUUGUAUGGGGUGUUUGUGCUGGUUCUUCUUUUUCAUAUCUGCGAUUUCUUUUUCUUUUUCUCUUCAGUUAUCAGCCACCACUGUGUCCACCAUUUUGUUUAGGACCUGAUCUGUAUCCCGUGUCGAAAUUCGUCGAAACUGCCGAGUCCAGGUAAUGAAUUAGUUCUUUCCUCUUUCUCUGAGAUUGGUAUAAUCUAUAAGUAUAGAAUGAAGCCUCUGUAACAAAAGAAAUAUAUGAAACAACAAAUCUAGAAAGGUAUAUAUUUAUGAUCUCCUUUAGUUGCGGGUUUAACGUAUGCACAAAAGGGUGAUUUCUUCUUCUUCUGCAUGUUUCUUACCCCACCGUAAAGAUGAUGCACCAAUAGCUUAUUUUAAUAUUGAAGAAAAUAUUGACAAAAAAAAAGCAGACUUUUCUCAAACUUGGAAGUUGAUAGGGAGCAUUUGAAACAAAGUGAGAUUAUGGAAGGUGAGAAUUCCAAUUGGCAUUUUCUAAUACUUGGAAUAUUUAUGGCCAAAGGAGUCCUUUCUUUUCAAAUCAUAUCUCCAUAUUAUUCCUCCAUUACUAUUUAUUAUAUUAUUCCUCCAUAUAUGCUAUUUAGAUUUUCAAAGAUUAUGAAUUUAAAGUGGGUUUUUUUAACCAAAAUAAUUAAUUUAUAUUUCAUAUAGUUAUGAAGCCCCUUGCUGCUGAAGUUUGAAGCAGAGUAGGCUUCCCUACUAUUGACGGAUUGGCUCAAAAGUUUGAAAGUCAUAUCCAACAUAAGACUUGCCAUCUCAUAUUAAUUUCUUGAACUAUAAAUUCAACUUAGCAAACCCUUUUUUUUCUUUUUGCAGAAAAUGACAAGUACAUGCAUGCACAUGCAAUUUCUUUUUCCAAUAAAAAUGCUUUCCUUGUACAAUAUUAACACUGCUUCAACACUACUGAAUCUUAUUCAUGUUUCUCCUUAGCCGAAUGCUUAAUUUGAUUCAUCAAGUCUUUUUAUGCUUUCUCAAACUCAUUUAUUACCUUCCAAAAUUUUCAGAGCUGAUCCGAUUUAAGUAAGCAAGGAGGAAAUUAGAAUUAAUAAAUAUUCUUUUGAAAAAAAAAACCAAAGAGUAUCAUAACUUGUAAUUGUAGUGGUCAUAUGUUGUUAAAUCUAUUAUUGUUACAUGGUACAUCUGUUAGUGAUUUUUGUCUCUUCUUUAUUUAUCCUAAUGUUUCCCCUUUUUGAUUUUAAUGUCUGCAGCGACAAGAGCAACUAUCUAAAUUCAUCCAAAAGUAAGAGGUAAUUUAAUGUCUUUAAAAAUUCCUUUAUUCAUUUUGAAAAGAUAGUCAUAAUCAAUUAUCCUUUCUAUAUCCUCGUUAUUGUUUACCAUAGAUCUUUGAGAAUUUUUUCUUUAGUGCUCAUCUUUUGGCUUUCAUCCAUUUGUGAUGUAUUAUUCUUAUUUUUUAUGAAACUAUAUUAUUAUAUCUAAUUAUAUAUUUAUGGUUUUAUAUCGUUUGACAUUAAAAAUCAAAAUAAUAAUAAUAAAUGGUAAAGACAUGAAAUUUUGUGGAGGGAGAUAGUACAUUAACAACAAAAGCUAUUUGGGAUGAUGAUCUGACGUUGAUAUUUUGUGAACUUUGCGUGAAUGAAGUCAAUGCUGGUAAUAGACCGACAACUCAUCUAAACUCAAAAGGAUGGGAAAAUGUCAUUGCUCUUUUUCAAGUAAAAACACAAAAAAAUUAUGGAAAACCUCAAUUGAAAAAUAAGUGGGAUACAAUAAAAAAGGAAUGGAGGUUAUGGAGGGAGUUGCUUAAGGAAUCUACAGGUAUUGGAUAGUGUCCAUCUAAGAAGACGGUCGAUGCUGUCGAAGAAUGAUGGUCUGAAAAAAUACAGGUUAGUGUUAAAUUUAUCAUUAUUUUAAUGCAUAAAGUUUAUUGAAAUUAAUAAUUUAGAAUGAUAAAAUUAUUAGUAUAACAUUUAACAUUUAACAUGUUAUGUAGGAAAAUCCUGAUUUUAAAGGAUUUAGAAGAAAUGAAUUGAACCACGAUUGAAUAAGUUAAUGUGGCAAAUGUUUGGUGGCAUUGUAGCCACCGGAGAGAAUGCAUGGGCACCUUCGUCUGGUGUUCUUCCAAGUGGGGUUCCUAUGGGAGAUGAUACACCUAAUGAGGGAUUUGGUGAUUCAGAUGAACAUAGUAAUGAGAAUGAAGGUAUUCCUCCUAAUGAGGUGCCAUAAAACCCUUCUUAAGAAACUCCUAAUCAAAGAAAACAAACACUUGGGGUUGUACACGGUAAAGGAAAAAAAUCAAGUUCAAGUGGAAAAUCAUCAAGAAAUACAUUAACUACUCAGAUCGAGAAAUUGUGUGACAGUAUGGCUAGUCCAAGGAAGUCUGUGAAUGAAAUUAUUUUUCUUCACUCUCAAUAUACUAUUUCAAAUGCAAUGGAUGCUUUGCGUGCUUUGGGAGAUGAAAUUCCAAAAAAAGAUGAACUGUACUAUUUUGCCAUCAAAAUGUUCCAAAUAUCGGUGAAACGAGAAGUGUUUUUGAACUUAGAUCCAGAUGUUAGGGUUUGGUGGCUUCGACGUGAGUAUACAAAAUCCAAUUGCAUUGUUACAGGCCAAUUUUGGGCCCUUUACAAGAUACCCGAAGCCCACUAACCAUUACUCACUUAUAUCAAACCCACUUGCAUUUACAACAUUAACCCAUUAAUCCCAAAACAACCUACCAAGCUAACCCAAAACCCAAUUACAACCUUUACCUACUAACCUUACAAAACCAUUACCCAUCAAUAUCCUCAACCCAAUACAAACUUAUCAGACCCACUUAAACCCCUAAAACCCACUAACCCAUCAAACCCAACAAAUUACAUAGCCCAAUACAUUUAAACUCCAACCCGUUAGCCCAACGAGACCUAAGCCCAAGUCAAAAAAUAGAAACCCUAGCCGAACCUACCCCCCCACUUGCCCGCUUGCGCCGCAACCACUAACACCACCGGCCAACCACCCUCUGACUCACCUGCUCCACCGUUUGCCCAUCCCCUGCAAGGACAAAAAAGAAGACAUGACAGAAACAGUAAAAAUGGAUGUAAAAGAGUUAUAAAACCCGAUUCAAAAACAUUGUAAAGGGUUCGGCAGUUUUGAAAACACAAAAAAUAAGAAAAUCAUUUCAAAUACAGAAUCAAAAUAGCAGUCCAUUGAGCAUUUAGAUUCAAUAACAACGUUCAAAGCAAACGAAAUAUCAAUGAUCAACAAAUCAGAAGCUAAAAGACCAAAAUGUGAUUUUUUUAUAUUUCUAUUUCAUUUUAAAACCUAUUUUAAUCACCUAUACAUAUUGAAAUACAAUAAAAUAAUAAGAUAAACAAGUGAAAUAAAAAAAAAGAGAAAAAAUUUGAAAUUUUACCUCUCCGGCCACCGUGUACGAUGGCCGGCGCUGGCGCCACCGACGAUCCAGCGACCAGACCGGUGACCGGUCCAUGGUCGGAUUUCGCCCCCUCCCCUCUCUUCCUCUUUUUUUUUCCUUCCUACUAGCACAAUUGAUUUUUUUUUUAGGAUUUGGGCUUUUUAUAGCCAUCCAAAACGACGUUGUUUUGGGGGCUGCCUUUUAACCCCAAAACAACGUCGUUUUGAGCAUGACCCAAACCGUCCGACCCGACCCGCUAGAGGAUCCGCGUGUUUUUGAUUGAAUGGGAUAUUUAUGUGUGUGGUCCUUCUGUUUUUUAGGCAUUUUACAAUUCAGUUUCUAUUUAUUUAUAAAUUGGCCCUGAUAUUUGUUAUGAUUCUCAAAUUGAUCCUCUAUGAUGCGCAUCGUUUAUAAAUGAGUCCUUUCCUCUUUGCUUUCCUUUAAAAUUAGCCCCAAACUUUGUUUUGUAAUUCGAUUUAGUCCUCUUUGUUAUAUUACUGCUUUAUUUUUAAAUUAUUUAUUUUUUCAUUUUCUGUUAUUUAUUAUUAUUAAUUAUAAUCUUUAUAUUUUCAUUAUAUUUACUAUAUUUUAUGUAUGUAGUGGUGUAUAUUGUAUUAUGUACAUAUAUGUGUAUAUAUUUAGUAUCUUUAUAUAUUUAUGAAACAUUAUUAUUAGUUCUUUUUAAAAUGUAUAUUAUGUAAAUAUUUUAAUAUUGUAUUCUAUAUAUAUAUAUAUUUCUCAUAUAUUAAAAACAUAUGAUCUCAAUAUAAUUAUGUGCAUUUUAGUGUAUACCUAUAUAUUUUUGAAAUAUUGUCAAUAGUUUUUAUUAUUUUUUUAAUACGUAUAUAUUAUGUAUAUUUACUACAUUAUAUUUUUUAUGCAUAUAUUUCAAAUAAUAUAUAUUAAGUAUUUCUUACGUCAUUAUUAUAUAUGUACGUAUUUAUGUAUCGUACGAGCAUUUUAUCACUUCUAAUAUGUAUAUCGUAUGUAUUUAUAUAUCAUGUAUUUUUCUUAUUUAUUUAAUAUUUUUACUAUUAGUUGCAUAUUUUGAUGUUACUUCAUGUAUAUAUUUUUAAUAACUAUCAUGUACAUUUUUAAUGCCAUAUAUAUAUUGUAUAUUUUUCAAUAACUAUAUUAUAUGCAUAUACUAUGUAAAUAUCUUAAUGCAAUAUUUUGUAUAUACCACUACUCUGCGUCUAUUUAUGUUGCAUUGUUAAUGGUUUUCUUUUACUAUUAUUAUCCUUAAUAUAUGUAUGCAUUUUCUAAUACUUUAUCAUAUAUAUAUGUAUAUGUAUUUUUGUUGUAUUAUGUACGUAUAUAUAUAGUAUUAUCUUAAUUACUUUAUUUUAAUAUUGUUAUUAUAUUAUAUUUGUUUUUUAUAUAUAUUAUAUCAUCAUUUUAGUAUUACUGUUAUAUAAUAUUAGUGUAUAUUUUUAUUAUAUAUGUAUACAUAUAUAUAUUUGCACAUAGUAUCACUUUCAACUUUAUUGUAAUAUUUUUAUAUAUUAUGGUUAUGUAUGUGAAUUUAAUAUACUUAUGUAUCAUAUUACAUAUAUCUUUUAUACACGUUAUGUAUGCUUUCAAUACAAUACUUAUAUAUAUUGUUACGUAUAUAAUCUUAAUGUCAUUUUUUUACAUAUGUAUAUUCGUUGUGUUCUCGUGUUUGAUAAUAUAAUUACAUUUAAUCUUGCAUGCAUUUGUUAGUGUUUUUAAUAUUAUUGUCAUAUUUGUUACUUGCUUCAAUAUAUUUCUAGUUCUUCCAUUUAUUUCAUCUCAAUUUGUUUUACAUUACUUCGAAAAUCUCAUUCGUAUUUUCUAACUAAUUUCAAUAAUCAAGGCAAUGUACCGAUUUAACAUUAAGUCAUCGAAUUUCAUCGCUAUGUUGGAUGGAAUUUGUCGGCUCGUGUUAAAGACGAAAUACCCUUCUAAAAAACCAAAAACUAAAAUUUCUUGUCUUUCCAAUUGGAUCAUGACUAAAUGUUACAUUAAACUCGUAUUUUUGAAAAUCAAGACAACACAUGUUUAUAAGAUACCAAUUUUGGGUGUCGCGAGGGUGCUAAUACCUUCCUCGCGCGUAACCGACUCCCGAACCCUAAUUUUUCUCUGGAUUUUCACGUAGACCUAAAUUUGGCCUUCAUUUUUUAAAGUAAAUGUAUUUUCAAAAAAAAAGAUUAUUUAUUAGGUGUCCGAUCACUCUUAGGAAAAAGGAUCGGUGGCGAAUCCCCUUUUUUUAUUUAUUUCAAAUCAAACUUCAGUUUUCAAGUUUUCACUAAAUUGCCACAAUUAGCGACCAAGUUAAAAAUUUUCACGUCGCUACAGAUGGCGACUCCACUGGGGACGUACUUUUGAGAGUCGAGUUGAGUUAAACACGUGUUGUCAAAAUUUUUGAACUUCCUUGUUCAAAUUAAUAUUUAGCCGCGAUCUUCAAAUAUUGUUUUCAAAAAAAUCAUGCAUUCGUAUCAUGUUGUAAAUAUCCUUCUAACUUGUUUUAUCUUAUUGAUUUUCAGCUCUAAGCUUUUUUAGCUUUUGUAGUUUAGUUUUGAAAUACACGCAAAGGUUUGCGAGUUUCUCCCCACACACCGUGCACGUGCAUCUUUGCAUAACAUGAGCUCUAUACCUGGGCUCCGUCCGUUUAAGUGAAAGUAAACACUAUGCCUUCGUGAGUUAACUCGUCCCUCCGCACAGGCUAGUGAAUACUUUCGGGUGACAUAUGACUUAUGCUUUCGUGAGUUAACUUGUCCCUCCGCACAGGCAUAAGUAAAUGUAAUCCUUCAAAUUGAACUCGUGAACCUGUGAUGGGCUACGACCGAGGCUUCGUACUAAUCUUAGUAGAUGACAGUACGGACAAUUCGAGUACCCACUAGAACCGAAACCGCAUAUAGUGAACCAUAUGAGCCACCUAAUUAGAGCCAUGCCGAACCUCCGUCCGUUAAUAGUCACCAAAAUAAAUACAUGGGAGAAACGCCUCUUCCCUUUUAUUUCUUUGACAUUUACACUUUCUAUUUUGAUUUUCUGUAAUUCAUAUUUGUUGUACUAACCAAGAUAUUUGUCUGUGUUCUUAUUUUGCAUCAUGCAUUAUUGGCAUCAUAUUAGGAAGGUGUUGACUAGAGAUUGGUUGCCAAAAAAUGGGUUUCUAAUGGAAGAGUCAAUUAUACAAACAACCGAGAAGAAUGCCGUGGUUUGGGACUGGUCUCUAAAACUCAAAAAGAAAAAGGGGAUAGUCUAGUGGAGGGAUGUAUUGCCAAUCUGCCCGAGCACGUAAUCGUGAAUGUUCGCCAGAAUAACCUUGAAGAUUUGGUUUGGGUUUGGAAUCAGUGGGAUUCGGACACUAGGAGUAUCUUCACUAAAAGAUAUGGGACAUAGCCAACUCGAUUGCUGUCAACAUAGACGAACGAUUGAUCCAAGUCAUGGUCAGAUUUUGGGAUCCGGCUUACCAAUGUUUUACCUUCAAUCAUGAAGAUAUGACUCUGACUAUAGAGGAGUACGUUGCUUUGCUUCGUGUUGAAAAUGCGCAAUUCCAUAAAGUAUAUGUGAAGGAGCCUAAACCGAUGACCUUCAAGAAGAAGUUAGUGAGAUUGACAGACAUGAUUGACGCAUGGGCCGAAAAACAGAUAAAGAAGAAGAAUGAAACCAUUUGCAUUCCAUGGUCUUCCCGACGAGAUUUGGUUCUGAACCAUCCCGACAUGUUGAAAAGGGUAAAUCUAUUUGCUUUGUCCAUUUACGGUUUGAUCAUCUUCCCGAAAGUCCUUGGACACAUAGAAGUUGCGGUGGUGGAUUUUUUCAAAAAAUUAAAGCAAGGAAUCAACCCUGUCCCGACUAUCCUAGCCGAGACCUUUAGAUCCUUAAACAGUUGUAGGAAAAUGGGGAAAUGACGCUUUAUCAGAUACGCGCAGUUACUAAAUGUCUGGAUUUUAAGUCACUUCUGGAAAGUAGAGCCCACGCCGUUCCAUAUCUUUUCAAAAACAUUUGCCCCGUUGGAAGCUUAUCUUAAGAAAGAAUGGCCAAAGGAAGUCACUGAACAGCAUUGGGUCUCAGUUUUUCAGAACCUUCGCGCCGAGGAUAUAACGUGGAGAGCACCGUGGAUCCGCCCUUCGGUUCUAUUAUACAAGGUUGGAAAUCAAGAUUGGGUACCACUACUCGGGUUAUGGGGAGGAGUUGGAUAUACCCCGCUAUUAGUCCAAAGGCAAUUUUCUUCGCGACAAUUCAUACCCACCACUGGAGGAUUAGCACAGUCUGAGUUUGCUUUUGCGGGCGAGGGAUAUAUGAAGAGGGUCCAAGAAACCGCAAAGUCUUGGAAGAGAAUUUAUCUGAUAGAAUUGACUCUAUAUGCUGAUACCCUCACCCAAGAUUACGACAUGUGGAGGAAGCUACGGGUGAAUAGUCAGUAAAUCUUGUCAACAAGCUACAUCGCCCAGAAUCCUUUCUCGGAGGAAAUGUUGUCUGAGCUAGAAAUGGCAAGACAAAAAGUUGAACGAGAAAAGGCCAAGAUGUCUCGGGACCUUAGUGCUCUUCAAGAGAAAAACUACCAAUUGAAGAUCGAUGUUCAGAUUGAAAGAUCUAGAACCGAGAAAGUGCAAAAAGAAGUUGAAGUCGUAAGAAAUGACUUAAAGGGACCUCCAUCUGGAAAAUAAAAAGUUAAGAGGCACAAUAAAAAAUAGUGGGCUGGGCAAGUCAUCGGCAGAAUGGAAAGAAGAAAUAAGCAACAUUAAAGGCAGGAUGGAAUUUUGGAAAGAAAAAGUGAAGAAAGAGGAGGAAAAGGCUGCGCGGGCUAUGAUUGAACUAAGGAGGAAGAACACCGAAUAUGAAACUGUGUCUGCUGAACUUACGAUUAGUCAGUCUGAAAGCUGAGAGUUAAAGGAGAGAAUACGGGAAUUAGAAGAUAUGCUGCAAGAUCGUCAACAACAGUUAGAUACUCUCUUAGAGGCUUUGGAAGAAAAGAAUAGUCAAUAUGAUAGAGUCAUCCGUGCUUACGAAGAGGGCCUCCAAGAAAAAGAAAUGCAACUUAGCUAUUUGAUCAAUGAAAUUCAUGGAGUAGCCAUGCACGUGGUACAACUAUUGGAAGAAGUUGAAAUUCUCAUUUUCCAAUUCCCUCCAAGUCGAAGAUCGAACAUAUCAGAAUUCAUAGCACGAGUAAAGAAAUAUGGCGAUAUAGCUAGGAAGUUUGUGUAAUGGUUGAAUCGAAAAUGGAAAAGUGUUUUGUAAUGAAUUCUUUUGAUGAAUGAAAUGCCUAAAUAGGGGCUAUCUUGAAAUCAAUACCCAUUUCUUGAAUUUCUUUCAUGAUUGAAAUUCAUUUAUGCACUCAUUCAUUCAUUGCAUGUACCUAUCCCAUAAUCAUUCGCUAAGGUUAGAAUCAUAUAAUUCGCAGUCAUAACACUUCAAAUCUAGAAUCACGCCAUUCGUAUAGAACGCGUCGACAAGCUAGAACAAUGGAGGCUGAGUUCAAUGAAAGAAUCGAAAGGAUGGAAAGAGUCUAAAGGGAAUUACAAGAACAACUGGCUAAGUCACAGCAAGAGACAAGAGACUUAAUGGUGAGAUCUCAAGAAGAAUCACUCGAACAAAGGGACCAAAUGGACAAGAUGAAGGAAAUGAUGUCAGCUCUAGUAAAAGGAAAAUGACCUAUGAACCCUGAUGUUGUGGAACAGCAGUCAAGGGUUAACCUCGAUCAAGAUCCGCUCUAUCCACCAGGAUUCACUCCACCUUACACACAUGUAAUUCAAAGAGAACUCCCUUAAGGAGAACCUACAGGCCUGGAGCAACGACCUGUACCACCUUCUAAUUUGGGGCAGGGAGUAUUUAUAUCAAACCUGGGGGCUAGUCCUGCUGAUCCGCUCGUUUCAGAUUUAGACGAUCCAGCAGAGAUAGCCAGGUUGAAAAUGGAUGAUCACAAUGUUCAGGAUAAGUAUAGGAGUUUGGAAGAAAGACUCAAAGCGAUAGAAGGUAUUGAAGCCUUCUCUGCAUUGAGUGCCAAAGAGCUCAGUUUAGUGCCUGAUCUGGUUCUGCCUCCGAAGUUCAAGGUGCCUGAUUUUGAAAAGUACGAUGGGACAAGAUGUCCAAAAGCGCAUCUUGUAAUGUUUUUGCUGAAAAUGACGGGUUAUGUGAACGAAGAUAAGCUACUCAUACAUUGUUUUCAGGAUAGUCUAGUAGGAUCGGCUCUUCGGUGGUAUAACCAACUUAAUAGGGAAAAGAUCCGAUGCUGGAAGGACUUGGCGUCAGCCUUCUGUGAGCAGUACAAGCAUUUAUCAGAUAUUGUGCCUGAUCGAAUGACUCUACAAAUGAUGGAAAAGAUGCCAGCAGAAACCUUUAGAUAGUAUGCGCAAAGGUGGAGAGAUAUCUCGGCCCAAGUGGAGCAUCCACUGACUAAGAUUGAGAUAAUAGUCCUUUUCAUCAAUACUCUGAGAGCACCAUUCUAUGACAAGCUGGUGGGAAGUGCUACGAAGGAUUUUUCGGAUAUCGUAAUAAUCAGAGAACUUAUUGAGAAUGCCAUCAAAAGUGGGAGGAUGAAAGGUUCAGAAAGUUCAAAAAGGGUAGCGCCCAUGAAGAAGAAAAAACCAGAAGCCCAUAUGGUGGGAAUGGGAAGCCGUUAUACCCCUAAUCCAUAUCCAAACCACCCCGACCUCGAAAUUAUCCUCCUCCAAAUUUCUAUUAUCCUCCUCAGAUCCCUUACUAUCAAGCACAACCUCAUUCCUACCCUGUAUACGCCAUAAACAACCAAAGGCCCGUCACCACAUUCCUAUAAAACACUCUACCCGCUCAAAUCCAACCCAGAAAUGAACCAAGACUAGCAAGGCCCAAUCCCGAGAGACCGCAAUUUACCCCUAUCCCCAUGUCGUAUGGGGAACUGUACCCAAAACUCUUGGAGAAGCAAUUAAUAUCUCCCCAUUACAUGGCACCCCUUAAACCUCCAUACCCGAAAUGGUACGAUCCAAAUGCUAGUUGUGCAUACCAUGCCGGGAACCAGGGGCACUGUACGAAAAACUGCCUUGCCUUCAAAAGGAGAGCUUAAGGACUCAUCGAUGCGAGCAUUCUGCGAUUUGAUGGUACUGGCGGUACGGCUGGAAACCCAUUCCCAAACCACACCGAAGGGAAUGUAAGCGCAGUGGGGAAGGAGGACGGAUAGCAAGUCAGAAGAUAUGUUUUGGAAAUAAGGACGCCUCUGUAGAAAAUCUGGGAGGUACUAGUUAAGAAAGGAUUGCUUUGUCACCCUGACAAAAUUCUCGGAGAAGAAGGUCAAAGUUUUUGCGAUUUCCAUGGAACUGUAGGACACGACAUUUAAUCGUGUAAGGAAUUUAAAAGGUUGUUUCAAGACCGGAUGGAUAAUAAGGAGAUUAAAGUCCUUAACAAAAGGGAAGAAGCCAACGAAAGAGAAGUAUGUGCCUCUGACAGCCAAUCAUCAGGCCUCCCUUAUAGCACCGACCGACCGUUAAUAAUUUAUUAUGACGCGAAGAAGGAGCCGGUGAAACCAAAAGUGAUAAUCGAGGUACCAUCUCCUUUCCCCUACAUGGACAAUAAAGCAGUACCAUGGAAAUACGACGUCAAUAUCAUCACACCUGAAGAUGAGAAACCCAAAGCCAUGACUGGAAGCAUUGGGAAAGUAGGUCAUUUCACUCGUAGUGGAAGAUGUUAUUCGAGAGAGGUCGAACCAGUGAAGAAGAGCAGUGACUUGAAACAGAAAGGAAAAGCACCUAUGCACGUGAUCGAAGAUGAGCAUGAAACUAUGCCUGAAUAAGAAGCUAAAAAGCCUGUAGACGAGGAGGAGGCACAGGAGUUCUUAAAAUUUAUCAAGCAUAGUGAGUAUAAUAUGGUGGAACAAUUGAGUAAGCAGCCAGCACGAAUCUCGGUAUUAUCUCUACUAUUGAAUUCAAAACCACACCGGAAUGCCAUGCUGAAAGUGUUAAAUCAAGCUUAUGUGGCAAACAAUAUAUCUGUUGAAAAGCUGGAUAGGUGGGUGAAUAACUUGAAUGCGGAUAAUUUUAUUUCUUUUAGUGAUGAUGAAAUACCGCCCAAUGGUAGAGGCUCAGUGAAAGCAUUGCAUAUCAUAACCCGUUGUAAGGGUUAUAUAAUACCGAACAUGCUCAUCGACAAUGGGUCGGCACUCAAUGUCAUGCCUUUGUCCACACUUUCCAGAAUUCCGAUGGAUUUGUCCUAUUUAAGGCCCUAUCAUUCCACGGUAAGGGCGUUCGAUUGGACAAGGCGUGAGGUCAUGGGAAAGAUUGAGAUCCUUCUAGAAGUGGGCCCUUAUAUAUACGAUGUUGAAUUUCAAGUCAUGGACAUUACACCAUCAUACAAUUGCCUCUUAGGAAGACCUUAGAUCCAUUCUGCCGGAGCAGUUCCGUCAUCCCUCUAUCAAAAGGUGAAAUUUAUCAUGGAUGACUGUUUGGUCACUGUCGAGGGAGAAGAAGACAUUGUAGCAUCUAUUUCUGCCGACGCACCAUACAUUGAAGUGAGUAAAUAUGCUAUGGAAUGUUCUUUCUGAUCUCUUGAAUUUGUUAAUGCCACAUUCGUCGCUGAGAGAAACAGAAUUCCCGUACCGAAACUAUCAAGAAAUACCAGGAUGGGUAUCAAGCUAACCGUGGGGAGAGGAGCCCGAGUGAGGAAAUGUUUGGGAAAAUUUCAGCAAGGAAUAGUCAGGGCUCUAAAGCCAGUACACCACAGGGCCCGAUACGGUUUGGGGUUCCAGCUAGACAUACGUCAAAGAAGAAAACAAUGGAAGAGAGAUCAGGAAAGAAGGAUCGUAAGAACCUUAGGCCGAGAAAUAGAAUGGGAGCCCAUGACGUACUCUCAUUUGUUAAAAACAUUUACAUCUACAGGAAUGAUAUACCCCGAGUAAGACAAUCCACGAAGCACACUGUUAAACAUUGAAAGGGGUCUUCAGAAUGUCAGUAUAAAUGUCAUUGACAAAGGAAGUGAUGCAAUUAAGGAUGUUUCAACGAUAUGCCCUUGUCCUCCUGGAUUUGUUUUAAACAAUUAGACUGCUGUAGAGCUUCUUGUAGUUUCUAAAUCUUCUCCAGAGUAAUGCUCAAUAUAAACACUAUUCUUUUUGUGGCCUUUCAUUAUGUCUUUGCUCUAUUUUCGUUACACGACAACGAGCAAAGAGGGGCAACUGUUACAGGCCAAUUUUGGGCCCUUUACAAGAUACCUGAAGCCCACUAACCAUUACUCACUUAUAUCAAACCUACUUGCAUUUACAACAUUAACCCAUUAAUCUCAAAACAACCUACCAAGCUAACCCCAAACCCAAUUACAACCCUUACCUACUAACCUUACAAAACUAUUACCCAUCAAUACCCUCAACCCAAUACAAACUUAUCAGACCCACUGAAACCCCUAAAACCCACUAACCCAUCAAACCCAACAAAUUACACAGCCCAUACAUUUAAACCCCAACCCGUUAGCCCAACCAGACCUAAGCCCAAGUUAGAAAACAGAAACCCUAGCCGAACCUACCCCCCACUUGCCCACUUGCACCGCAACCACUAACACCACCGGCCAACCACCCUCUGACUCACCUGCUCCACCGUUUGCCCAUCCCCUGCAAGGACAAAACAGAAGACAUGACAAGCAGUAAAAAAGGAUGUAAAAGGGUUAUAAAACCCGAUUCAAAAACAUUGUAGAUGGUUCGGCAGUUUUGAAAACACAAAGAAAUAAGAAAAUUAUUUUAAAUCUAGAAUCAAAAUGGCAGUCUAUUGAGCAUUUAGAUUCAAUAACAACGUUCAAAGAAAAUGAAAUAUCAAAGAUCAACAAAUCAGAAGCUAAAAGACCAAAAUGUGAUUUUUUUUAUAUUUCUAUUUCGUUUUAAAACCUAUUUUAAUCACCUAUACAUAUUAAAAUACAAUAAAAUAAUAAGAUAAACAAGCGAAAUAAACAAAUAGAAAAAAUUUGAAAAUUUACCUCUCCGGCCACCGUGUACGGUGGCUGGCGCCGGCGCCGACGACGGUCCGGCGACUGGACCGGUGACUGGCCCAUGGCCGGAUUUCGCCCCCUCCCCUCUCUCCCUCUUUUUUUUUCCUUCCUACCAGCACAACUGAUUUAUUUUUUAGGAUUUGGGCUUUUUAUAGCCCUCCAAAACGACGUUGUUUUGGGGGCUGCCUUUUAACCCCAAAACGACGUCGUUUUGAGCAUGACCCGAACCGUCCGACGUGUUUUUGAUUGAAUGGGAUAUUAUGUGUGUGGUCCUUCCGUUUUUUAGGCGUUUUACAAUUCAGUUUCUAUUUAUUUAUAAAUUGGCCCUGAAAUUUGUUAUGAUUCUCAAAUUGAUCCUCUAUGAUGCGCAUCGUUUUAAAGGCUUUGGAAAAUUGUUCUUUUGGCCCCCUCACCGUUUUAUGCGCAUUCAAAUGAGUCCUUUCCUCUUUGCUUUCCUUUAAAAUUAGCCCCAAACUUUGUUUUUUAAUUCGAUUUAGUCCUCUUUGUUAUAUUACUGCUUUAUUUUUAAAUUAUUUUUUUUCAUUUUCUGUUAUUUAUUAUUAUUAAUUAUAAUCUUUAUAUUUUCAUUAUAUUUACUAUAUUUUAUGUAUGUAGUGGUGUAUAUUGUAUUAUGUACAUAUAUGUGUAUAUAGUUAGUAUAUUUAUAUAUUUAUGAAACAUUAUUAUUAGUUCUUUUUAAAAUGUAUAUUAUGUAAAUAUUUUAAUAUUGUAUUAUAUAUAUAUAUUUCUCAUAUAUUAAAAACAUAUGAUCUCAAUAUAAUUAUGUGCAUUUUAGUGUAUACCUAUAUAUUUUUGAAAUAUUGUCAAUAGUUUUUAUUAUUUUUUUAAUACGUAUAUAUUAUGUAUAUUUACUAACAUUAUAUUUUUUAUGCAUAUAUUUCAAAUAAUAUAUAUUAAGUAUUUCUUACGUCAUUAUUAUAUAUGUACGUAUUUAUGUAUCGUACGAGCAUUUUAUCACUUCUAAUAUGUAUAUCGUAUGUAUUUAUAUAUCAUGUAUUUUUCUUAUUUAUUUAAUAUUUUUACUAUUAGUUGCAUAUUUUGAUGUUACUUCAUGUAUAUAUUUUUAAUAACUAUCAUGUACAUUUUUAAUGCCAUAUAUAUAUUGUAUAUUUUUCAAUAACUAUAUUAUAUGCAUAUACUAUGUAAAUAUCUUAAUGCAAUAUUUUGUAUAUACCACUACUCUGCGUCUAUUUAUGUUGCAUUGUUAAUGGUUUUCUUUUACUAUUAUUAUCCCUAAUAUAUGUAUGCAUUUUCUAAUACUUUAUCAUAUAUAUAUGUAUAUGUAUUUUUGUUGUAUUAUGUAUGUAUAUAUAUAGUAUUAUCUUAAUUACUUUAUUUUAAUAUUGUUAUUAUAUUAUAUUUGUUUUUUAUAUAUAUUAUAUCAUCAUUUUAAUAUUACUGUUAUAUAAUAUUAGUGUAUAUUUUUAUUAUAUAUGUAUACAUAUAUAUAUUUGCACAUAGUAUCACUUUCAACUUUAUUGUAAUAUAUUUAUAUAUUAUGGUUAUGUAUGUGAAUUUAAUAUACUUAUGUAUCAUAUUACAUAUAUCUUUUAUACACGUUAUGUAUGCUUUCAAUACAAUACUUAUAUAUAUUGUUACGUAUAUAAUCUUAAUGUCAUUUUUUACAUAUGUAUAUUCGUUGUGUUCUCGUGUUUGAUAAUAUAAUUACAUUUAAUCUUGCAUGCAUUUGUUAGUGUUUUUAAUAUUAUUGUCAUAUCUGUUACUUGCUUCAAUAUAUUUCUAGUUUUUCCAUUUAUUUCAUUUCAAUUUGUUUUACAUUACUUCGAAAAUCUCAUUCGUAUUUUCUAACUAAUUUCAAUAAUCAAGGCAAUGUACCGAUUUAACAUUAAGUCAUCGAAUUUCAUCGCUCUGUUGGAUGGAAUUUGUCGGCUCGUGUUAAAGACGGAACACCCUUCUAAAAAACCAAAAACUAAAAUUUCUCGUCUUUCCAAUUGGAUCACGACUAAAUGUUACAUUAAACUCAUAUUUUUGAAAAUCAAGACAACACAUGUUUAUAAGAUACCAAUUUUGGGCAUCGCGAGGGUGCUAGUACCUUCCUCGCGCGUAGCCGACUCCCGAACCCUAAUUUUUCUCUGGAUUUUCACGUAGACCUAAAUUUGGCCUUCAUUUUUUUAAAGUAAAUGUCUUUUAAAAAAAAGAUUAUUUAUUAGGUGUCCGAUCACACUUAGGAAAAAGGAUCGGUGGCGACUCCCCUUUUUUUAUUUAUUUCAAAUCAAACUUCAGUUUUCAAGUUUUCACUAAAUCGCCACAAUUAGCGACCAAGUUAAAAAUUUUCACGUCUGUACAUGCAUCAUUUUCAUCCUUGGUAGCAACAUCUUCAUUUCCCUUCCAACCAUACCAUCAACCACCUCCACCAUAAGCUUCUUAGAAUUAUUUUUGUAAUAUAACUAUACUACUUUUUUAUAUGUAAAACUAAUGUAUGAUAUUUUUUAUGUUUGGUAUUUUUAUGCUAUGCUUUUAUUCAAGUUUCUGUGUUGUAUAGAAUGUCACAAAAUAUUAAUUAUUUUUAUUUGAUUACUUUUUCAGGUUAUGGAUGAAUUUAAUAAUAUGUAUAAUUGUUUUUAUAUGAAUUAUGAUACCCCUGAAUUAAGUGAAGAAGCUCAACGAAGAAUAGCCACAAUUGUUAACCAAGUUGAGAACAACAAUUAUCAUGAAGAGGAAGAAUAUGUGUUAAGCAGUGUAUUGGUAUAUCAUGAAACUGAUUUCACUAUGCAACUGCGUAUGGAUUCAAAUUAUAUAGGUCAAAUGUGGGUGGACGAAGUAUUAAAUGGGCAUGAUGAUCGUUGCAUAAAUAGUUUUAGGAUGCCAAAAAAUGUAUUUCACAGCUUCAUGAUUUGCAAACAAAUUAUGGCUUAAAGCAUGGGAAAGUAUCGGCGAUGGAGAAAUUAUCAUUAUCAUUGUAUAUUCUUGGAAAUAGAGAAUCAAAUUCAAAUGCAACAGAGAGAUUUCAACGAUCUGGGGAAACUAUUAGUCGAAUUUUUACUGAUAUAUUAUAUAUAUUUGCUCGAAUGGGAAUAGACACGAUUUAACCCACUGAAGGUUAAUUCGAGGAAGUACCGAACCAUAUUCGACAUGAUACAAGAUAUUGGCUUCACUUUAAGGUAAAAUUUACACAAUCUUUAUAUAUUUAAAAUAUAAAUUAUUUCUAACUUUUAUCUCAUUACUUGUAUUUAUUUUAAAGGAUUGUAUUGGGGCCGUAGAUGGAACAUACAUAAAAGCAUGCAUUUUGCCUUUUUGUCAAAUACCUUAUAUCGGACGGAAAGGUGAACCAACUCAAAAUAUUAUGGCAGUUUGUGACUUCAACAUGUGCUUUAUUUUUGCAUUUCCUGGUUGGGAAGGAACAACACAUGAUAGUAGAAUUUUUUUGCCAGCACUUAGAAAACAAGAGUUAAAGUUUCCACACCCUCCACCAAGUUAAACUUUAAUUUUUUAAUUAAUCUUUACAUAAAAAAAUAUUAAAAUUUUUAAUUUAUUUUUAAACUUGAUAUUAUGUUUUACUUUUUUGUAAGAAAAUAUUAUCUUGUGGAUUUAGGAUAUCCACAAAUGGCAGGUUUUCUAGGUCCAUAUAGGGGGGAACGAUAUUAUUUACCUGAUUUUCAUCAAGGUAAUCAUUAAGUAUCUGGAAAAAAAAAUCUUUAAUCAUGCCCAUUCUUCAUUACGCUCUGUGAUUGAACGAACAUUUGGAGUGUGGAAAAAAAUGGCCAAUAUUAAGAGAUAUUCCAAGUUAUUCAUUCAACAAGCAAGUUUGAAUAGUUAUUGCAACAAUGGUUUUCCAUAAUUACAUUCGAAGACAUGCUUGGUCAAAUGAUGAGGAUUUUCGAGAAUUUGAGAAUAUUCCAGACAUACUAGUCUUUUCAGGCCAUUUUGAUAGAGGUGAAUCGAGUUCUUCUAACAGUGAAAGUGACCUUAAAAUCGCGAUGUUAAGGGAAACCAUUGCAACUAGUUUAAUGAAUCCAUAUUUGUAAUAAUAUUUUGUAUCAUAACCUAAUUUCUAGUAAUAAUGAAACUUGUUAUGUCUUAUGUUACUAUAUUUUUUUAAUUAAAAAUCAUCCGUUUAAAUAUUUCAAAAUUUGAUCCAAGUAUAAUGUUACUAUUUGUGAAAAUAAUAUUUAUCAUUGUUAUAAAAGAAUAUUUAACUAUAAAAAAUUAAAAUUAAAAAUAAUUAUCAUUUUAUCUAAUUCAUUAAAAUAUUUAUAAUAAAAUAUUGGAAGAUACAUUUCAAUAUUUUAUUAAAUGAAUUUAUAAAUUCACAUAUUUUAAUAAUUUUAAAAAAGUAAAAUAAUUUAAAAAAACUUCUAUUAUAUAUCACUACCACCGCUGUUUUUAACCUCACCGGAGGUAAACACACUGUCCAUCCAAACUAAGCCUAAGAUGAUUUAGAAGUGGGGAAUGGGUUUUCCUCUAAAAAUGGUUUUGUCGUUGUAGUGAAGUGAUACAACAUAAAGAAUGGGGUAAACUUCCACGUUGUUAAAUCUCGACUUGACAAAUUCGAGGCUAAAUGCGAGACAAUAAAUGUGCAUGGAAAAUCAUGGCUUCUGUUACAAAGAAGAUGAGUUUGUAGACUAUAAAGAAAUAUAUCGCUCCAGCAUACGUGAUGAGUCGUUGAGAGCACAAAAAAUAUUCUAUCCCUAUAAAAUAAUGAAAAAAAUAGUAUAAGGGAAGUGGAGUCAAAUCCUCAGGGAUUGGAUUUGCACAAGUUCUUGUUCCUAGAAAUCCCGGACAGAGUCGUGCCUAAGACAACCUACGUACCUGGGAAAAAAAUAAAAAAAUAGAAUUUAAAGUUUGAUUGAAUUGAAAUUACAAAAAUUAAAAUUAAAAUUGUAACGAAAGACAGAGUUGAGUAAGAGAGUUUUUAUUAUGGAGAGAUUCCAGCCUCUGGUUGCCUCGAUCUGCCUUAGGUUCAAUCCUCGGGUUUUAGGUAAUCCUUCUCAAAUAGAAUAAGCCAGUUCUAGUGGAAAAGGACGCAUAUGACCACCAGCUCCAAGAUUUUAGACUUACGAUUUAGAGGAACCUGACUCUAGCCAACAAUUGCUUUUGUGGGACCAUCUUGUGCUAGAUCAUCACUUCUCAAUGGCAAAUGCCACGCCAUUUUGUCUCUUGAGCUUGCCAACCUCUGACGCAAUAAGCUAAUGAAUCGACUGUGCAACCUUCCCAAAACAUACAAAGCGGAUGCCUUUGCAUAAGAUGAAAAGAUCACCUUUGAAAAGACAUGGACGGAAGCGUCAGUCCCGUAGUGUGGAGAAGCGAUAAAUACUCAUUGAGAAGGCUAAGUGCGGAUUCUAAACCUCAUGAACCCUUUUUUAGGAUUUUCGUCAACCUUUGGUGAGAUAAAUUUAGUGAUUCAUGAUUUUUGGGGAAAAAAGAAAUAAAUGUAAUAAAAUUGAAAUUUUAUUGAGUAAAGAAAAGAAUAAAGGCUAGAGCUUUUUGGGAGAGGGACUGUUUACAGAAAAAGAUUAGUGAAAUUUGUGUUACUCUAUCCCCUAUUUAUAGUACUAGGAAACCUAGUCUAUUCCUAAUUAAAUUCUAAAAGAUAAAUACAAAUAAAUAAAGAUAAAUAAAGAUUAAAGCUAGGAUAAAUAAAGAUAAAAACGAAAAUUAAAUCUAAAUAAUAAUCCUUAAUAAUUAUCCUAACAUAAUUGGAAUUUAAAUAGAGUAUUGUGCAAUAAAAUCUCUUCUUUGCACUUUUGCCCCAAAUAUUCCACAAUUUGUAUUUUUGGCAUCACUUCUUGUAUGCUGGCCAGUUUUAUCUUUAAAUUCACGCUUUUAACCCCCAAAUUUUUUUUACCUUCAAUUUAGUUCCUAUAAGAUAAAAAGCAAUAAAUAGUUUAAAUUAGUAAGAUCAUACUCACAAAUAAACAUAUAAUUAAUACAUAAAAAUAUGUCAUUCUAGAGUAUUAUCAAUAUGUGUGUUGUUGCGGGUAAUGCAUCAAAACUAUCUUAUAUUUGGGGUAUUAAAUUCCUAAUUUUAACGUACUCGUGUUGUUACAGGUAUUUCACAGGGUCAUCUACAAUUGGAUUUAGAUAUGAUCACGAACAUAAUACUACUUAUGGCGAAAACGAGUCCAACAAUUGCUAUGACAGUUUUAAUUGCAAAAAUCCGUAGCCAAUACAAUUACACACUGUCGUAUUGCAAGGUGUGGAUUGCAACGCAAAAAACAUUGGAAAAGAUGCAUAAUGGGUAGGACGCAUCGUACAAUGGUUUUCGGUAGUGGUGUCAGGUACUUGAGAUGUACGUUUCAGGUUGCAUUAUUGAUCUGGAAAUGAUGCCUACGUACUACAACGAUCGGUUGGUCCAUAGAUGCUGAGUGUUCUGUCGUUUCUUCUGGACUUUCAAGCAAUAUCGACAGGCAUUCUAGUAUUGUAAGCCACUGGUACAAAUUGACGACACCUUUAUGUAUGGGAUAUAUACGCAUCGGUUGUUGUUGGCUGUGGCAAAUGUGAAAAUCGAAAAAUCCUACCAAUUGUCUUUGUAAUAAUGCCAAGAAAAAAAUAGAUAAUUGAGAUUUUUUCUUGUCUAGGUUAAGGAGACAUAUUUUCCCCUAACCCGAUAAAUGUGUCAUUUUCGACAGGGGACCUGGAAUAUUAGCUGCAAUUGAACGAUAGGGGAUCCUUUGGGACCAUACACACCAUAGGUAUUAUUUAAGACAUGUUGCGGUGAACUACCAUGGGCAGCAUGAAUCUGAAGCACAGUGCACACUAGUGAUUAACAUAGGUAUGUAUUCGCCACUAUUUCAAUUGUCUAAUAUUUAACCGGUCAAAAAAUGUUGGGAUUAAUGGAUAAACUAUUCAUUUUUCUUGAUAAGGUACAAGCUUGUCAAACAUCGUUUCCAUGAAAUGAUGGAAAACUUGUGGGUCAUUAGCGAGGAAGGUGCAAACUACCUCUCUAACACACCCUUUGACCAGUUGACACAAUCGUAUAAUGGGGGUCUAAGAUAUAGGCACAUGAUGACAAACCUGACGGAAUGCAUCAAUUUUGUAUUAAAGGGGACGCGUCAUUUAUCGAUAACCUCAGUUGUGAAAUAAACAUAUUUUCAUUUAGCAACACAAUUUCCAAAGCAAGCGGAAAAAUAUGUUGAACAGAUAAGGGUGACCACAUUUGGUGUAAAGAGAGAUGAAGGAAGGCUACAACACGAGUCAACUGCAUGCAUCCAGUGUGUUAUUCGCUCGAAGACUUAUCAUUUCAGGUUACGAAGUUCGAUAGACCCUGUCGAAAUCCUUUUUUUGAAAUCGACUUUUUGUUUUAAAAAAACAAAAAUGGGAGUUGCCAUCAAUCCUUUUUUUGAUCGGAUCACCUCAUACUUUAAUCUUUUUAAUAAAAGAUUUGAUUUAUUAAAACAAUAUUUUUCGGUCUACAAAAAUUCGAAAAAGGUUUCGGUAGUCAGUUACGUACGAGGAAGGAUUAGCACUCUCGUAACACCCAAAAUUGGUACCUAAUUAAUUAAUUAAUGUCUUAAUGUCGAAAGUUGAAAAUUCAAAAAGAAUUUAAAAUACGAUCCAUCUUUGUAUUAAUGUUAUUUUCACUUUAAAAAUUUCUUGAAUAAAUCAAAACGUACGUUAAACACCCUCUCAUCUCGAGAUAACAAAAUGUCACAUCCCGUAAGUUAAGACACGACACCUUGAACCCUUGAGAAUAAGCUUGCCUUUUAUUUUUUUAAUCUCAUGUAUUUUAAUUUUAAAAGGGUAUUCAGUCAUUUAGGUUCAACGAGACAAAUCGAAACCCCGUAAGUUAGGGUACGAUUCUCGAAUCUCCAAGUACGGAGUAUUGCCUUAUUUUGAAGAUUUUUGAAUAAUAACAAGUGUAAUAUUUAAACGAUAUGUAUUUAAAACGAUAAAGUAACUUAAAACAAAUAUGAAAAUGGGAAAUGCAUGUUUAAAAAGGAUAAAUAAAAUAACAUGAAAUGUAACACCCACUUACCCGAGACCGUCGCCGGAGUCGAGCAUGAGACAUUACUAAACUUAUUUUAGCACUUAAACAAUUCUCGUAGUAAACUAUCCAUCUGCAUCACGGUCGCUAAAAAAUCAUAUCUCGAGUUACAAAACUCAAAAUCCAAUUCCGUAAAUCUUCCCUAAAACUACACUCAUAUAAUUUUUGGUCAGGCCAAUUAGUACAGUUUAUUAGUAAAAAUCUCCCCUGUUUCAGGGUUCGGCUACUCUGACCCCUGUGCACUAAGAAUCAAAUUUAUUUCCUAUACAGAAGUCCAAUGACUAUGCCAUUUAUUUCAGUUAAAAAUAGACUCAAUAAGUAAUCCAUACAUAUAAAGUAUGAGUUCUAAUUAUUUAUACACAAUUUAUGGUGAAUUUAUAAAGGCAGAACAGGGAAUCUAGAAAUUACUCUAACCCUGUUUCACCAAAACAUAAAUAUCUCAUAAAAUACAACUCUUUUACCUAUUUUGUUUCUUCCAUAUAAAAAUAGAUUCAUUACGCUUCAAUUACAUAUUUUAUUCAUCAUAAAAUUCACUUUCUACUAUUUUUGGUGUAUUUUCAAAGUUGGACUACUGCUACUGUCCAAAUCUGUUUUAGUAUAAAAUGUUGAUAACUAAGUUUAUAACAUCUUCAUUUCUUCUCUCUACAAUAUUUACCAUCACUUCCUCUUAUUUCUCUUCACUAACAUAUCAAAAACAUACCAUACUUAAGGUUUUGGUAACAUUUACAAAACAUACCAAAAUAUUACUUAACAACUUAGGUACUUUCAAAAUGACCAAAAGACAUCCUAGGUACAAUGCCAUUUUCCAAAAAGAUAGAAACUUCACCAAUUUGAGUUCGGGGAUCGGCUUGUAUGCUAAGUCCUUAUACUUUCGUACCUAGCCUACGCACGGAAACAAACCGUACGCUGAGAAUACUCUCAGUGGUAUUUCUAUAAACAAUAGCUUAAUCAACUUUAAAACAUGGUAAUUCAAACACAUUUCAAUAACAGUCAAUCAAUUAGUACUUUAAUAAUCUUUAUUUUAUUUACCCUUAUUAACAUAACUCGGACACUGACGGAUACAUGGAUCCAACUCACACUCCGGGAUAAGCACAUAGUGCUUCAUCGGAACAAAUCCGGAACUUUAACAGUAGUCGACACAGUGUCUCAACAACUUAAUGUCGGAAUAUUCCAAUACUUCCAAUUCCUAUGACAUGUCAACUAUAUCCGGCUAGCCCGACACUGUUAAUAGGGUAUUCAAAAUCACAUUCAUUUCAAUAUGGUAAGAAUACUUACCUCAUUUACAUUUUCACACAAUAUAAUUAUCAAAUAUAGCAAUAACGAUUAAGCUCGGUUUAUAGAAAUACAAACCACUAUUUAUCGAAUUUAAUCGAUAUCUUCGUUCACUUUCUCUUUUCCCUUCUUUGAUGACGUAUCCGGUGCUACGUUAGCUACAAACAACCAUACAAUUAAAAAUCAUCAAUAUACUAAUUCAUUAAACACAUUUUCACUUUCUAUCAAACUUUUACAAAAAUUCUAAUUUCGUCCUUUUCCCAUUACUAAUCUUUUUUUUAACUAAAUCAUCAUAUUUUUAUUUAAUCAACUCAUUAACAAUUUCAAGCUCAUAAAAAAAAUCAUCAUAAAACAUAAAUUUUGAGCUCUAUACAACUUAGUCCCUAGUUAAACCUAACUUAAAAAUUCCUUUAACAAAUCACUUCUAACUUAAAAUUCUACCAUUUUAACCCAUAAUCCUCAAUUUAAUCAACUUAAUAAACAUCUAAAAAUUCACUAUUUUUCUUCAUUUUAACCUCAUACAUGUAGAACUUUGAAUUAGGCAUCCAUAAACAUAAAAAUCACAAAAAAAAUGAGCUAAAACAACUUACCAAUCAAGCUUUAGGGCCUUAAUCCUCAAAUUUUCCCUUUUCUUUUUCUUUCUUUCUUUCUCACGUUUACUCUCUGUAACUCUUUCUAUCUUUCUUUCUUUUUUUUUCCUUUAUUCAUAAAUCUAUAUUCAAUAUAAUAAUAUUAAUAAUAUAAUAUUAUUCUAAUAAAAUAACUUAAUCUAUAAGAAAAACUACUUUAACACAUUUAAUAUUUUUACUAACUAUUACACAUGUCAUACAAUAUUAACACACACAUGUCACUUAGGGUCUAAUUGCUAGAUUAGUCCCUUUACUAAUCUUUAAUCUAUAAUUAAACUUUUAUACCUUAUGCAAUUUAGUCCUUAUUCUAAAUUCAAGCUACUUAACUUAAUAAAACAUUAAUCAACCACUCAACUAUAAUUCAUAAAUAUUUCUAAUAAAAUAUUCAUGAAUUAAUUUCACGGAAACAGUACUCAAGACUCGAUUUCCGAUACCGUAACUUUCGGUUCAUUACGUGAAAAUAUUAACAAUAAUAAUAAAAUAAUAAAAUAACAAGUGCACAAGACAAAAAAAUAAAAUCAACAAUAAAUAACAAAUGCACAAAUAAAAAAAGGUAUAAACACUUCGAUUUUUAAGAGAAAAAAAAGUAAAUAAAGAAAUAAUAAAUAAAUAAAUAAAAUAGUUUGUAAGAAAAAAAUUUGAAGUUCAAUAAACCAAGGAUCGAAUUGAAAUCAAAAUAAAAAUGAGGGGUAUAAAUUGUAAAUAAAAAAUAAUUAAAAAAAGAGUAAAUGAUUAAAAUGAAGCAAGUGAAAAGAAAUAGGGACUAAAAGGGAAAUUAUCCCAAACCCUUGGGACACAUGUCAUUCCCGGGAAGGCCAGACGAAUGAGGACUAAAUUGAAACAAGCAAAAAAUUAAACAAUAUAAUUUUUGAAGGAAAAAAAAGAAUUGGGAUCUAAAUAAAAUAACUAAGAAGGCAGAAGGACCGUAAGCGUGAAUAUCCCUUCUUAAAAAAACACACGGAUCCUAGGUCGGGUGGUCGGGUUGGAUUGGGUCGGCCUCCCAAACAAUGUCGUUUUGGGGUCUAAGGUUUCAGGCCAAAACGACGUCGUUUUAGCCCUCUAUUUAAGUAAAAAUAACUUCAAAAAAAAUUCAUUUUAACAGCUUUCAGAAAGAAAAAAAAACCAAAAUCCCUCUUUUUUCUUUGAAAUGACCUAAGGUUCGGCCAUCGGCGCCGCCGAGGCGGUCCACAGUGGCAGCGGUCGUCCAUGGUGGCCAAAAAACUCAAAAUUUCCCUCUAUUUUUUUCGGUCUCUCGAACCCAGAUCUAGCGAUCACCGACCAAAAAAAAGGUAAAAAGCUUCUAACUUUCUUCUCUUUAUAUUCAGUUAGUAUAUAUAUUUAUAUUUAUAUUUAUAUUCAAAAAAGAAAAAAUCACCUCUUGUUGUUGAUUUCUUGUAUUUUUUUCUUUUUCUUCUUUUUUUUCCCAAAAAAAAAAGUCCUCUCCAAUACAUUUAGAUUUGACUUUUAUAGCCGAUUUCUGCAUAUUUUUUAAUACUUGUCUACUGUUUUAAUCUUUGUAGGAGCAGUUAGUGGAGCAGGUGGAGGAGUGGCAGUGGCAGAGGCUAGAGAUUUAGGGUGUGAUAGCUAGGGUUUCUGUUCUUUUUUUUUUAAACAGUUUAGGUUUUGGGCUUGUUGGGCUGUUGGGGGUUUGUAAUUUUGGGCCUGCAAUUUAGGCUAGUAUUGUUACCGGACUGGACUUUUAAUAUUUUGGAAUUUUUAUUUAUUUUUUGUUUGGUUUUUUGUUUGGGUUCGGACUCGUAUAAAAUUGGCCCAUAAUAGACCCAACUAAGGAAUUGUCGAGAAAGCAUACAAAAAUUGCUUAUUUUUCGAGAUCCCACUAUAAAUUCUAUCUAUAUAUUCUGAUCGCCAACUUAUACAUACUAGAUCCAGUUGCAUUUUAUUCGAAUUGAGAGAAUAACCAAAAAAAUUCGACUUUACUUUUUUGUUUCCGGAGUAACUCUCAUCAACUAGUACUAUUUUGAUAUGAACUUUUUGAAGGAAUUCAUCAAAUUUCUUAGAUCUAAAAUCAUCCUCUUUAUAUGAUAGCCUAUACGGAUCUACUAGAUAUAUAGACUUUAAUUUCAUACAUUCGUUCGGUACCGAUCCGCUUGCUAUAAUUCAUUUAACCCUAUACCAUAUACACUUGAAAACUAAACCUACGACUGUGGGAGAUUUGACACACUUCGUUUUCCAUGUGCUCUUGCAAUUAUAGUAUGUUCUUCCAUUUGUUUGGAUAACAUGAGCUUGGUUGACGAAAUGUACAAACUACAACACAUGUAUAACAUUCGAAGAUAUGAAUUCCCAUCGGUCCCAGAUGAACAUAUUAACCAUUGGUAUCGAGUGCUCCAUUCAAGUUGUUACCCAAUAGUUCAUUGAGCCGCAAAUCAAAAGGUCGAUUGGAAUCUACUCAGAUACACGACAACAUGGAUAUUCGAGAGAAGACAAACCAUUCGAGGUCAUGCGGGUUUUGUAGGAACCUAGGGCAUACAAUAUUGUUAUGUUUACACCAAGAUACUACAAGGACAACACCUUAUUAACUUAUUUAUUAAGUUUUUAACUAAAAUCCAUUUGUUGAUUCUUUCAUUCAUACUUAAAUUUUUUGUAAUUUGUAAAUAUAAGUUUUUAAUAUAAAACUUUGUUCCAUUUUUCUAGUGCAAACCGAAUUUAAUUUGGUUUAACAAUAUAAAAUGACAACGAAUAUCAAUUUUGAUUCAAAAACAUUAUUUAUUUAAAAACAUUUUAUAUCCAAUAUCGGUACAAUCUUAUCGACUGCAACUUAGCUAAACAAUUAAGAUUUACAUGAGAAGUAAAAAAAAAUCAUAUCAUCGACCAGAAUGUGUGCCAUAAUGGGGUGGUCGUCAAUUGCAAGAUAGAUUUCUUUUCGUUUAAGUUGUAUAUCGACCUCAUCGUCUUUAUUGUUACAUCUGCCUUCGGGUAUAGGUUGUGGUCUCGGCCUUUAAUCUUUUUCGCCUUCAUUCAUGGUUGAUUGCAAUGUGCUAAUUCGUUGUUAUAGGAAUAGGCAAUUGCAAAGAUAGUCCACAUUGUCAGAACAAUGAUCCCGGAGGUGUUUACAACACCAUCGUCGUAGGCGUAUCACCAUAUUAUGUCUCAUAUGCCGAUGAUAAAAUAACUAGACUUCCAAUCGAUGCCCCAAACAUAGAGGACCUAUAUGCCAUCGUCAUCUGAAACGACGAUGGCAUCAGCAUGUAAUAUGCUAGGGAUGGAGGUGGCAGUCUGAAAAUAAUACCUAGAGUCGAUGUAGAAAUAGAAAAAUGUGGUUCAAGAUGUGGUGGUUGUGUAAAAAUAACGGUGUUAGUGAAAGCACCAGAAUAAGUCAAGCCGUACUGAUCGGAGGUUGGUUGUAAUGACCUAAGAUUCACGGGCACCAAAAAAGUAAAGUAUCGAGCCUCCGUCUUAAUAAACCGGGUUUGUAAAUAAUUAUUAGGAGUAAUUAUGAGCCUAGUAGUGUGUUUCAUUAAGUUUUAAUUAGGUGAAUUUAGCUUAAAUUAGAAUAAUUAGCAAAAAGAACUAAAUUGAAUAAAGGGUAAAAGUUUAUUAUAGAUUAAAAGAAAGUAUAAAGGGCCAAAAAAAGGAAUUAAGCCAAAUUACUAUAAAUAAGGCGGCAAACUUAGAUAAAAUCUAAUAUUUUUAUUAGAUUUUUAUAUGUUUAAUGUUUUAAAUUAAUUUAUAAAUUAUAUUAAUUAUUAUUAUAUUAUGAAAUAAGUUAAAUAAAGAUAAAUGUAUGGUAGUGAUUUAAUACAAGUGUAUUAAUAGAAAUAUAUACAUUUGUUAUAUUUUUUUAUUUAAUUAGUAAAAGUUUUAUUAGAUAAAAUAAUUAAAUUGUAAGAUUUUUGUGUAAUGAAUAAAAUAGAUAGUAACACUUGUAAUAAUGUGAAUAUAUACAUUUGUAUUAUAUUUAUUUAUUUACUUUAAAAUUAAGUGAAAGAUAAUUACUAAUUAAAUAAUUAUAGUAGGAGAUUUUUAUUAGUAAAUAAAUUAAAAGUAUAACAAUUGUAUGGUAUUGAUGGUGUACAAAUGUAGUAAAAAUAUAUAUAUGUGUGUGUAUGUAUAUGAUUAAUUAUAUAAAAUAUAUUUAAUGUUAUUAUAAUAUAAUAUAAUAAGUUAAUUAAUACAAUAAAAGAAUAAAUAUAUAUAUUAAACAUAAAAAAAAAGAAACAAAGAAGGAAAGAACAGAAUAGCAAACAAAAAAGAAAGAAAGAAAAGAGAAAAAGAAAAGAAAAAGGAAAAACUAGGGAUUUGAAGCUUUAAGUUUUGAAAAGGUAAGUCAAUUAAGUUCUUUUUACUUAAUUUUGAUUUUUUUGAAUUUUUAAAAUAAGGUUUUGAUAAAAUUAAGUUAAUAUUUUGGAAGUUCAUAGGUUUUCAAAUAUAGUUCAUGUUGAACAAAAAUAUGAAUUAGGGGUUUAAUUGAAUGAAUUUCAAGUUAAAAGUGAUAAAGGGAUUAAAUUGUAAAAAAAACUAUAAGUUUUGUGAUAAAGGGAUUAAAUUGAAAGAAAUUUAGAUUAGGGUUUUAUUGUGAAAAUUGAAUAGUUGAGUUGAAUAUAGCAAGAAAUUAAAUAGAAAAGAAGUAUGAAUUGAGUUAGAAAAGUAAGUGAAUUUAGUUAGGAUUAAAUUGGGAAUAAGUAUGAAUUGAUUAAAAAUUAAAUUAUCUGUCAUAAUUUAAUGCUGUAAUUGAUAGUGAAAAUUAUUAUUAUUUUCGUAGCUAACAAGGAACCCGAGGCAUCGGCAUCGAAAGGAAAGGACAAAGUUGUCGAGGAGUAACCGAAUAAAUUCAGGUUUGUAUUACUAUAAUUCAAAUUAUUUAUUAUUAAAUGUUAAAUUUUAAUUUAUGUGUAUGGUAAAUGAAAUAUGAGGUAAAUAUUAUUAUUAUUAUUAUUAUUGAGAUGAGUGGGAAUUAAAUUGAAUAGUUGAUAUGAAUUGGUAUUUGAAUUGUAUAUUGAUUGAAAGCGAGAGUGAAUUUGAAUCAAAUUGUGACUGAUAUUAAAUUGAAUGAAAAUGUAUUGAGUUGUGAAAAUGUGUGAAUUUGUGAAUUGAAUAUUGGUUGAAAGGUGGAAAAUAAUUGAAUUGAAAAUGUGAGAAAUUGUGAUUGAAUUGAGGUAUAUAUGUGAUUUGAAUACCCUAUUAACUACUCAGACUAGGUCGGAUAUAGGUGGCAUGCCAUAGGAUUGGAAGAGUUCAGAGAUGCUUCGACCUCGAGUCGAUGAGACACUAGGUGUCACUAUAUUACUUCGGAUAGAUUCGAUGAGGUACUGGGUACCAACUUACUUCGGCUUGGCCGAUGAGACAUUGGGUGUCAAUUAUUAGCUUCGAACUAUCCGAUGAGGCACUGGGUGCCAUACUGAAGUGUUUGGUUGGAUCCAUGUAUAAGCUAAAGUUUGAGUCUGUUAAUAGGGGUAAUUAAAAGAAAUGUUAAACUGAAUAAACUGAAUUGAUUGAGCCAUUGAAAGAAAUGUGAAAAUGGAACGUGAAAUAAAAAAAAAGUUAUAUGAUUUAACGAUAUGAUUAUUAUGUUUAUAGUUUGAAUUAUGGUAAUACCACUGAGUAUAAAAUACUCAGUGUACGGUUAUUUUCGUGCGUAGGUUAAUAGGUGUUUAGAGUCUCGGUUCAGCAUUCAGGCGAUCCCGACUCCAGUGCAAAACUCAGUGAUGUAUUCUUCUUUUGGAAAAAGUGGCAUGUACAUAGGUGUUAUUUUGGUCACUUUAAAAUGCUAUAUGAUUUUUGUUGUAAAGAAUGGCAUUUGGUAUUUUGGUGUUUAUACUGAAGAAAUGGUAUGAAAUUUUAUAUGAUGUACAUGGUAUAAUUGGUGCUAAAUUUAGAAUGGAAUGAAUGAAAUUCUAAUUUAAUUAUUAAUGGUAAUAUAAAUGUUCAUAAAGUAAAUUAUCAAAUUAAUGUUAUAGGUAUGAUUUUAAUACGAUUAAACAUGAAAUUGCAUUUGUUGAAAUAUUGGUUUUGGAUUUCUGGUUUGAAAUUGCAGGGAAGGUUAGAUGUUUAUAAAGGGGUUAUAUUGAGUUCAAAAAAAAAAAUUCUCGGAGCACCCGAACAAGUCCCGAUUCCCCUCUAAUAUGUAUUUUGGGCCUUGAGGGUCCAAUUAAGAGACUUUGUAAUUAUUUUAUAAUAUAAUAUGUUCGAUUAAUCAUAAAUUGUUUGAUUAUUCGGUAAUGCAUCGUAACUCUGUUCCAGCGACGGUUUAGGGUUAGGGGGUGUUACAUUGGUACAACCAUUGAUGUCUGUUCUAGUAUUGGUGUAAAUGAUAGACCUGCCUUGCCAGCUGCUAUAGACCUUGGAUGUUUAAGCACCCGUCAUGGCUUCCUCAUAUAACGUUGUCUACCCCUCGCCUCUUCCGCUAGUAGAUAUGGCUUGCCAUGGUGUCUAAACCAUGGCAAGUACUACGAAUCGUAGGUUAACUCCAGAGCGAUAAUGCGUUCGUGAUUAGGUAAAAACUCGUACCUAUGGUUCCAAAUGUUGAUAUAUUCUACAUGGAAUGUAGGUUAAUUUUCAUCGGUUCUCCCCUGUAAGUCAAUAUGUUGUAGAUCUUCGAUGUCUUGGGGUACCGACAGAAUUGUUUGCCUAAACCCAAACUGCCGCUUAACUCUAUCUGAUUUGUGCAUCUCCUCAGUAGCAUACACUACUAAUGGAACCUUCACGUGCCAGAUGUUGGGAUUCAUCAAGAAUUCGGAUAGGAUACAUUUUUGAAUUCUCAGAUAGAAGUAUGACGUCCAUUCAAACUAUAUUAAAAUAAUAAAAAAUUUAAUUAUAUAUACUAUUAAUAUUUAAAUCAAUUGUGUUUAUAUUAUAUAAUUCAAAUUUAAAAAAUACAUACAUCCACUUUCAAUCGUUGAUCUAACAGAAGUCGUAUAUUUUGAAGCUCUUCCAGUAGUCCCACAUAACUUGGCUCAUGGUUCCACCUAUUAAAAUAAUAUGUUAACACAAUAAUUUAAAUUUUAAAUAAUUUUAUUAUGAUAAAUAUAUUAUAUAAUGAAUUUUACGUUUUUACGAGUGAGAAUGUAUAAGGGUAGUUCGCUCAAGGACGUAAAAAUAACAGUUGAUACCAUGCCCAUGAUUGCAACAGUAGCAUGCAACCACCAAUUUUAAUUUUCUAUGGUUUUGUAGCCUAACACAUCUCUCGGUACCACGUCGCCAACACGACUAACCCCAAUUGAGUUUGCCCACUUCUCUAAAGUCUACGAGUUUUAGGAGCCACCUUAAAUGGAUAAGAUUUUGUGAUUUAUCGAGCAUUAAGAGACACAUAAUGAUCAUAAGGAUGUACGCCCAAAUGUGUUGUUCUCUUUCAACUUCACUCAAUUCCACAUCUAGCCCACCAAAAUUUCUUUUCAACCAAUUCAUAUCUAUUCAGGCUCCAUAAAUCGUGUCCAGAACCUUCAUAAAAGUUGCUCGCAUACAUCUCUCCAAUCAGCUACAACAACUGACCCAGUCAUUACCAGCCCAUCCACCGGUAACUUGAGCUGUAACUGCGCGUCCUCGAGUAUGAUAGUACACUUGUUACAUGGAAGAUGGAAUGUGUGCGUAUCAUAUUUCCACCUUUCCACCAACACGAUUACAAGUAUAGGGUCCAAUUUACACCCCUUACCCAUACGGGCCACGUGCAAAAAUCUAGUAUUUAUCAAGUAUGGUUCGAUUAAAGACAAUGGAGGAGCGAGUAGAUUACAAAUAUACGUCUCUAAAAUCUGAUCUUCUGACUAUAUAUAAAAAACAUAAAAAAAAAUAAAUUUCAGUAUAAUAAGAAAAUAUUUAAAUUAAAUUAGAUUAAAUAUAAUAAAAAAAUCUUACCAUUUGCAAUUGAUCGAUCGAAAUGUGCUUGCCAUCCAAACGAAUUAAAGAUUUUGCCAUUACUAAUUUCAAUAAAUACGAAAUAAAUUGUAAUAUAAAAAUUAAUUUAAAAACCUUAAUACAAAUUUAAUAAAAAAAAGAGUUGAGAGGAAUAAAAAUUGAGUGAGAAAUUAAUAGGGAAUUAAGAGUAAUUUGAAAGAGAUUUGAGAAUAAGAGAGAGAUGAGUUGAAAUUUGAAUUGAAAAAUGGAUGGAAUUAGGGGUUUGAACAGGAAAAAAUAAUUUAGCCAUUGGGGGGGUUUAAACGACGAUUUAAAUAGCUGUUGGGUUGGGAAAGCCGUUGGAUGGGGUAGCCGUAAUGAAAAAUGUUUCUAGUUGGAAGCGUUUUCAUUUUUUCGACCUAAUCCCAUAAUUUUUUGAAAAAUCGAUCUAAUCUGAUAAUUUAUUUUUAAAAUGACUGUUGGGAUCGACCCAAUUAAGCAACAGGUAAAAAAAA
RNAcentral lists this long non-coding RNA (59218 nucleotides) under Gossypium barbadense (sea-island cotton). RNAcentral's name for it is "long non-coding RNA (GBAR_LNC000165)". The record is from RNAcentral. Lineage: Eukaryota; Viridiplantae; Streptophyta; Magnoliopsida; Malvales; Malvaceae.